CUCCUUCCCUGUAUGCGGCUACCAACGCCCUCUUCCUCGGCCGUAUUCUCCUUUUUACUGCUUCUCCACCUCUAUCACUGUGAACGCAUGUUUGCUGUUCUGUUCUUCAUCUUUGUCUAAAUCUUGUGGGAAUGGAUGGAUCAAGUGAUGAGGAAACUGCAACAAUAUGAUGGGGGGUGGUUAUCCCUCCAUGAUUCCUAGUAUUUAAGUCUCUGAUGGUCCUUCUCCUUUCCUCUUACAUCGCGUAACAUGGUUUAUGUUUCGUAUUGUCGUUCUUCGAUAUGCCUCAGAUUGAUUUAAUGCUUUGGUAUCUUUCUAAGGCGGGAUAUGACGAUGAAGAUAAUUGGUCCGUGUUUCUGAUUUCAUGGUGACUGAUACUUUUACCAAUUCUGAUCCCCCACAUCAACAAGCUUUCGUUGGUCAUAUUUUCUAUUUUGAUUUCUAGUUUAGACGCUGUGAUGAAUUAUGAAACAAACUCUACGCAUGCCAGACUUCAGAGAUGCAUGAGCAACUGUGAGAAGAUAGUUGUUCCAUCCUGUCAUCAUCCUCGAAUCUAUUUCUUCAGAACAUUGCUUAUUUUAAUUGGACUCUUGUGCUUUGUUUUGAGGAUUUAUUUUUGGCAAUUGUUCUUCUAUAUCUAUCCUUGUUAUUUAUCUAAGGUGGGAUACGACGAUAAAGUAAUUGGUCCGUGUUUCUGAGUACAUGGUGACUGAUACACUGAUACCAACUCUGAUCCCGUACUCAAUGAUUUAUGUUGCACAUAUAUAUUGGUAUUUUCUCAGUUUCUCUAUAUUUUAUAUGCAUUGAUGAAUUACGAAACAUAGUCUACGAGAAGGCAUUUCAUUAUUCUGCGUUAGCUAAUCUAGUCUCAUCACACUUUUUAACUUUUGCGUUUUUCAUUUUCUACAGAGAUUUGUUUGUGGCAAAAUGGAUCAUUGUUCUUUGUUUGAGUUUUCAUAUGUUUUCAUACGUUCUCCAGUUGAACAUGUCUGGAAAAGUCAUCAUUCUCAUGAUUUCACAGGCACUUCAGAAUAGACAUUAUAAUAUUCAUUGGUCUUGUUAAGGUAGCUACUUAAUAUUACCAUGAAAAGUGCCUGAAGAGUUUCUUUCCUCGACGAUGAGAUGUAUUUGAGGAAACUGAUUGUUAGAAAAACAUUUUUUGCCAGUUGUUUUCAAAGGCUGGACAUUUCUUAUUAGAAAUUAGAUGUCUUCAUUAUUCUGAUAGAAGGCAAGGUGGAGACCUUUGGCUCCUUAAUGGGCUAAUCCUCUACCCUCCUAAAUUGAGCUACUAAAACUUGAACUCUCUGAUUCCAAUUAAUUCUUCAGGUCAUUCAUUAGAUUGAUCUUGGCAUGCUUGAUUUUGUAGAUGAAUAUUACAUGUGUCAUGGAAGAUGAUGCAUUAUGUGUAGUGAUGAAUAUCUGGUUGGAUAGAAAAAAAAAUCAUUUGACAACUUGUAUUGGUCUGUUUUAUUGUAGUCGGCCCAUGUAAUUAAAUCUCUGAAUAGAUUGGAAGUUAUUAGUGUGAAAAUAACCUCGAAGCUGUAAUUUCUUAUUACAGAAAAGGGGUCAUGAUUGCUGAAAAUUUUUGAUAUAUUCUCUAAUGAUAUUUUUCUUAUUAUUUAAUUUCUUAGUGUGAUUUCUCUUAUCAGUUAAAUUAUGUGUCUUUGGGAUAUAUAUAUAUGAGUUUUAAGAAGAAAAAUCAAGAAUUAUGAAGUUGCAGAAUCUUUACACCAGGCUUCAAGCCCUCUUCCAGAGAAAUGCUUCCAGGUUAUAAGGGAUGCACUAAAAAUGGGUUACAUGGGAUGCUUUAAAGAUGGCUUCCCAGCUAAGCUUGGCCAACAUUGUUAUAAAGUCUAAUUGCUGGUAUUGGAGCUGAGAGAUUUAUAGAAAACCUAAAGUUGUAGAAAAUCUCAAGUCCCUCCAUGGCAUGUGAGAAAUGUUUGCAGUGAUAUAAUUUAGAUAGUUUAAAUGUAUUAUGGUUUAAAUGUAUUAUGAUUUGAACAUGUAUACAGAGAGGGUAACUUUACAGCUUCAUUUAGAUAAGUAGGUUUGUUUUGUUCUCCUCGAUCCCCGGAGGAGACUUUCGUAUUUUCAACUUCAUAAGUCCGCUCGAUUCUCGGAACGGUGUGAAGUUCUCAUUUAAUAUGACCAUAUUUGCAGUAAAAUACUUGUAAGCAAAAUAUAAGUUCAUAUGAUUAUACAAUUAUGAGGAAUGGAUAUAUUAUACCUUUUAUUUAGUGUCAUACAAAUGAUUAUAUGGUUUAUUAUUCAUUUUGGUGAUUAUUUCAUGGAGGAGUUGCUAAGAUGACUAUAGAAUUAUGAAAUUCAAAAAGAAAUUUAAUCGAGUAUGAAUUAGUGUUAUUAUAAAUUUUAUGAUUUUAAAUUUUUGAACAAAUAAAUAGAUAAAUAUUAAAAGUUAAUUUAACUAAGAAAUAAACAUAAAUAAGAGAAUAAAUAAAACGCCCACUUCGGAAUUCUAUUCUCUAGAUGUUGCUAACCUUGAUUAUUAGCAUUGCUUUCGAAGAUUAAUAAGCCUUUUCGACUUUCUCACUUAAAGAGAAUCAUUACGUUUAUUAAUUUUAAGAAUUUUACACAUUUUAAAUUUAGUAACAUAAUUAGAAACUUAUGGAACUCAAGCAAAAUUCUAAGAAAAAAUUUCAACACUUUGAAAUAUUCGUAGUCUCCAAAGUGCCUUAAAUUAUGAAGCAAAUCAGAGUAUUCAAAAUUAAAAGUACUAAUGGUAUUAUCACUCGUUCUUCUAUGUAGUAUAACCAUUGACACUACUGAAAUGAUAUUGUUAGGGCUAUACGCUAUCUUGGUAAUACCACCACUUAGAUUAGAUGACACUAUCGCUUUUUGAUAGUGUUAUUACUAUUUAGGUGAGACAAUUACCUCCUCUGGGUGAUACAACCAUACAUACACUGAUUUGGCCCAAUAAGGGCCCAAAUCUAACUUCAAUUCAGUCUGAAUUUAGCUCAUUUCGAUCUUAACUAGACAUAAGACAAAUGUAACUUAAUUGAGUCCUAAUCUUAGCCCAAAUUUUAUUCAAAUAAGUUUUCAUAUCAACAACCACUUCUUUUGGCAUGUUCUAGAGUCUUCCAAUAAGUCUUUUGAUCCUUCAGCAUAUUAUCAUUUUUUUCAACAUGUCUUUUGAUCCUUCGGCAUGUCCUACCUUUGCAUGUUAAUUUAUCAUUUUCUGACAUUUGAUAUGAUAUUUAAUCUUUCGAUAUAAUAUUCAAUCAUUCAUCACAAUGUCCAAGCCUUCGGCAUGACUUCUAAUCUUCUAUUAUGUCACGAUCCUUGGUUGAAAUGCACCUAUAUCACUUGUUUUGUCAUCCAAACUUUUCACAAAAUUAGUUCCUUAAUUCAUUGAUUGAUUUUAUUAUCAAAAUUUGAAAUUUGAAAAUAUUUCACUUGAAGAUGUUUGAAAGACUUCCUUUAUCUUCAUACCGUAAAUAUAAGAUUGCAUCAUGAGUAUCAAAUUGUAUCAAGUUGAAAAAAUAUUGAAUGAAACAUAACUUGAUAAGAAUCAUGAAGACAUAAGAGUUUCCUAUUAUGAUAUCAUAGUAUUAUGAUAUUGGGUUAUAGCUUCUCCUCUUUUAUCAUCAACAAAAAGAAUGGAAUAUAUAAGUCAUGAAGACAAAAUAAUCAUAAUAAAAAUAAAUUAUAAAUCACAAGCUAUGAACACCGAGAAGUCAAGAGAAAGGUAAGUCAUAAAAUCUAGCAUAUAUCAUAGUAAAUCUCACCCUAAGUCAUUUCAAAAAAAAAAAAGAAUCACAAGGAGAAGUAAUGAAAACAAGUCUUUAAUCAUUCAUUUAAAAGAUUCAAUAUGCCUAAUUAUCUUUUAAUAAAAUCAAAUUGAAUCUCACUUAGAGGCUUAGUAAAAAUAUCUAUAAGUUGAUGCUUUGGAUCAAUAAAAUAUAGAAAUAUAUCAUGAUUAUCAAUAUAAUCCCUAAUUAGAUGAUGUCUAACAUUAAUGUACUUAGUCCUAUAGUAUCGAAUGGGAUUCUUUGUCAAAUAAAUUGCAUUAGUUAUCACAUUUUAUAUAAAUAUUUUUUAAGAAAAUUUCAUAGUCUUUUAAUGUGUGUUUUAUCCGUAUAACUUGUGCAUACUUUGCACCAACUAUAAUAUAUUUUAUCUCACGGUAAAUAGAGUAACAAAAUUUUACUUUUUAGAACAUCAAAAAGUAAGUGCAUAACCUAAAACCAAGUCAAAGUUAUUAGAUUUAGUAUAUUAUAAUCCUAGAGAUAAUGUUUCUUUAAAGGAUAUAAUUUUUUUUAUUGCUUUAAAGUGAGAUUAUUUGAGAUUAGACUGAAAUCUUGCAUAAAAACUAAUAUUAGACAUUAUAUUAGGUUUAGGGACAAUGAGGCAUAAUAAGCUAUUUAUAAUACCUCUUUACAUUUUUUGAUUAAAGUAUUUUCCUUCAUUAUCCAUGUCUAAUUUAAUAGAGAUGUUCAUUGGUGUGUUAAUAGAUUUAGCAUUAUCUAUAUGAAAUCGUUUCAAUAUAUUAAGAAUGUACUUAUUUUGACUAAUAAAAAUUUUAUUAUAUAAUUAAUUAAUUUAUAAUUAAAAAAAAAUCAAUUCACCCAUUAAGUUCAUUUCAAAUUCUUGACUUAUAUUUUUGGAAAAAGAUUCAUAUAAUGCUUCAUUUGUGAAUCUAAAAUAAUAUCAUCAAUAUAAAUUUAAAUAAUAAGAAUAUUAUCAUUAAAAUGCUUAACAAAUAAAGUGGUGUUAAUAUUACCUUUUAAAAAAAUAUUUUGAAUCAAGAAAAAGUAAAGUCUCUUAUAUCAAGCCUUAUAAGCUUGCUUUAAAAUAUAGAGAGCGAUAGAUAACUUGUAAAUAUGAUUUGCAUAAAGAUUAUUUUUAAAAAUAGGUGGUUGUCCAACAUAAACCUUUAUUGAAAUAAAAUCAUUUAGAAAAAAAUACUUUUAAUAUCUAUUUUAAUUUAAAAUUUUUAAAUAUGCAUAGGUAAAGAGCGUCCUAUCCAUAGGAGCAAAGGUUUAUGUAUAGUCAGGACCUUCUUCAUCGUUAAAACCUUGGCUACUAAUCUAGUCUUAUUUCGAAUCACAAUAUCAUUUUCAUUUUACUUAUUUUUAAAGACUAAUUUAGUAUCAAUUAUAAGUUGGUUACUAAGUUUAGAAAUAAACGUUUAAGCUUUUUUUCUUUUAAAUUAGUUCAGCCUUUUAUGCAUCACCAAAACCCAUGAGUUAUCUUUAGGAGCAUAUCGAUAUAUUUGAGCUCAAUUUGAGGGGAAAAUAAUGAUAUUUACAUAAAUAAUUAAAAUAAUAAGUUUAAAUACCCUUUGAUAUGUUUUCAAUAAUUUGCUAUUUAGGAUGACCACUUAUAUAUUUCUAUUCGUUAGGUAAGGUUGCAUUAGAAGUAUAUGCAUCCAAGUUGUUUGGGGGAGUGAAAGUUGCUAGUCAUAGGUGUAGUACAUGUCAUCACAUGAGUGAUGACAUGUGUAACAUGACACACACUCUUUUUUACUUAUUAUUAUUAUAAUAUUUUCUUACUAUAUAUAUAUAUAUAUAUAUAUAUUGUGAUGUCUAUCGAUUUGUGCAAUGGGAAUCGGAUCAUGAUGAGAUCACGAUAAUGAGAUCGUUUCACUUUUAAAUACAAACCCUAGAUAAUCUCGGUCAUAGGUUACUCGAGGGGGACAUUGAGAUAACCGGACAUAUUGCUGUACUGUAUACUCAUCCAUAUGAUGGAGGCGGUUGGUCUCAUAGCUACCGCUUAUGGAAUGUUGGAUGGUUGAUGAUACCUCUUUGUUAGACAAUGAUUCUGUCAUCCUUGUGGUGUAUCUAGUCCUUAGACUUGAGACAUCAAGGAUGUCCUAUAUAAGUGCUCUACUCUUUGAUACUAGACUUAUAUGUCUGGAAGUUUCAGAUCUAGUACAACCGGUUAUCAAGAGUGGUAGCCAACCUUAUGAGGGCUAUUGAGUAUUGAUCGAGGAUCAUCUACUCUCGGUAUCAUAAGAGUAAUAUCCUAUGUAUUCUUGCUUAGACAAAUCCCUAGCCAAGGUCAUUCGAAUUGAGAGAGAAAGAGUUCUCCGGUAGAAUCCGAUUCGAGUAGAAACCAUAUGAGCUUGACAAUACCAUGCCCGGUAUACAGUCUUUUAGAUAUUAGAUGGAUGAGGGACUAUAAAUAUAUGGUGACUAAGGAUGAACAGGUCCAAUAGAUUGGAUUCUCCAAUAUCGUCUAGGGAGUACGACAUAGUGGCCUAAUACAUAUGUAAUCGAUAAGUCAAGUGAAUUAUUAUGAAGAUAAUAAUUCACUAAGCUAGAAGGAGUUAUGACAAGUAUUACUCAUGACCAGCUCAAUAUUAAGCCUAGAGGAUCACUAUUAGGACUCUAGCUAGGAGAGUCCUAAUAGAGUUUCAUUGAAAGGGGCAUGGGCAUUCAUGUAAAACUUAUCUAGCCGACCCUUAUUAAAGAGGUGAAGAGGUCGGCUAAGGUUAGUGUUAGUUGGGAGGUUGUUUCUUAGAGUAGGAGUUUUAUUAGGAGUUGGUUAAAAGUAGGAGUCUUAAGUAGUAGUCCUAUUAGGAGUUGAGGUUUAGAAGCCCUAUAAAUAGUCAUGUUUUCAUUCUCUUUUGACAAGCAAUAGAUGAAUCUUUUUAGCAGCCUUUGAGCAGCAACUUAGAGGAAGGAACCCCUAUAGAGUUCCAAGGAGGCCGAUCCCUUAAAGAUAUCAACCCCAAGCUUAGAAUCCGCUAGGGUUCUAUCACUUGGUAUCAUAGCAGCAUUCUUGGUGUCUCGCUGCCCUUCCAUAGCCAUCCAUUAGCCCUCCACAACCGCACAAAGCAAUUCCCACAAUUGCUUAAAAGAUCAUCGUUGAAUUCCGUCGUCAUCUCCACCAUCACGAAUCAUCCUUUGAUCUCCAUGUGAAUUGCAAUAGGUUCUGGUUUCCUACCUUACUACUACUGCAAUUUAGUUAUCCUUAUUCAAAAAUCUAAAAAAAUCAUUCCUAUGUUACUGCAUAAACUUUUCAUCGUAAAGUUUUUAUCUUUACGAUGAAAGAUGCACUACAGAAUUCCAACCUUAUAGCAUAGUUUGUUUAAUCUUGCUACUGCACUUUUUCUAUCCAAAUCUCUAUGAAAUUUUUAUGACAGCUUUGACACUUCCUAAUAGCGGAUUUUCCUUUGGUUUUGUCAAAAAAUUCUCAAUAUAAACUACUGAUCUUUUACUAGAUGCACUAUAGAAUUCCAACCGCAUAGCACAAAUUGUUUGAUCUUGCUACUGUAUUUUUUUUUAUCGAAAUCUCUAUGAAAUUUUUAUGACAGCUUUGAAACUUCCUAACAGCAUAUUUUCCUUUAGUUUUAUCAAAAAAUUCUCAAUAUAAACCACUGAUCUUUUACGUCCAGACUGCUAGAUGCACUGUAGAAUUCCAACCGUAUAGUACAGUUUGUUGGAUCUUGCUACUGCAUUUUUUUCUAUCCAAAUCUCUAUAAAAUUUUUACGACAACUUUGAAACUUCCUAACAGAGGAUUUUCCUUUGGUUUUGUCAAAAAAAUUCUUAAUAUAAACCACUGACAUUUUACGUCUAAACUACUACACUUUAGACGUAAAAAUCUGCUAUAGUACCUUUCCGUGAUCCUCAAUUUUUUAGAACCUUCCACCACCCCAUGCCAUUAACCCAUCAAUAAAAAAAAAAGACAGGGAUAUCUCUGAUCUAUAGGCAUAUGCUAUGGCUUUUCAAGAUCCAAUUGAUGCCAAAUUUGAAGCAUGAGAAUCUCGGAUUGAAUCGCAGCUUAAAUCACGCUUGGAGGACAAAUUGCACGCGUUGUUUGCAGAAUUCAGAAUUGGAUAAGUGCCGAGUCCAACUAAAUUUCAGUAAGGAGAGAGUUCAGAGAGGCCUCCAGAGAAGGAGGGACAGCCCUCGGACAUGUUUCACCCACACAUGAGGGUGGACUUCCCGCGAUGGGAAUAAGGAGACCCGGUGGGAUGGAUUUCACGCGCCAAACGUUACUUUCGCUACUACCGAAUGUCGGAUGAUGUUAUGGUGGAAAUUACUAUCAUCUGCCUUGAAGGAGAUGCUAUUCAAUGGUACAAUUAGUUGGAAUACAAUCAUGGGGCUCCGACGUGGAAUCAAUUUAAGAACGCACUACUGAAUCGUUUCGGACCUAUGGAGUAUGAAAAUAUCGAUGGCCAACUCACAAAGAUUCGACAAACUUCUACGAUUCAAGAGUACCAAACUAGGUUUGAGAAGCUAUCAUACUUUGCUCAUGAUUGGACUGACCAUUAAUUGUUAGAAACAUUCAUCGAAGGACUCAAGCCAGAGAUAAAAGGGGAGGUCAAGGCGCGACAGCCCCAUAUCGUGACAGUUGUGACUUCUUUCGCCCGAAUAUGAGAAGAACGGCUCAACCAAGAUGCUUGAAGGAUGAGAACCUCUCCUAGGCCCACAGCAUAUAAACCUUCUUCUACUCCCAACUGUCCUUCGCUGCCAAAAAAAUUGACAAGAGAAGAACUACAUGAUUGAUCAGCAAAGGGUCUCUAUCGGUAUUGCGAUGAGCUGUGGAACCGCGAUUAUCGCUACAAAAGGGGCUGCCUCCUACUGAUUAAACCUCUUGAAGACAUAGAGAAGGAGGUCCAAGAGCAUAAGGAAGAUAUUAUGAUGCAUGCCCUUAUCGGUUACGCGAACCCGCAAACGAUGAAAGUGGGAGGACUUCUGAAACAACAACCUAUCACUGUUCUUAUUGAUACCGGGAGCACUAAUAAUUUUAUGAAUAGUAAGGUUACUGUCCGAAUGGCCUUACCUAUCGAGAAUUGCAACAGGUUUGACGUUAAGGUCGCCGACGGACGAAUUUUGAAGUGUGAUCAUAGGUGCCCGCGGGUGAAACUAUUGCUGUAGGAUCAAGAGAUAAAUGUAGAUUUCUUCCUCCUCCCUUUUGAUAAUUAUGAGGCUAUGCUUGACAUCAAAUGGUUGACAACAUUAGGUGAUAUUUUCUGAAAUUUUAUAGUAAGAGGAAACAGGUGAUACUGCACGGGAAACGUGGGGGCGACGUAACGAUGAUUUGCACACAAUGAAUGGAGAAUGUUUUGCACAAAGCAUGCAGCGGCUUUUUGGUACAACUUGAGCAGCAAACUAAGGGAGUGCCAACAAAAUUUGAAGAUCCAAAUCUACUUCUUUUGCUUGUUGAAUUUUCAGAUAUAUUUGACGAACCACACAACCUACCUCCUACCCGUCGGCAUGAUCAUUGUAUACCGAUUCUUCGGAGCAAACCUCCAGUAAAUACUCGGUCAUAUCAAUAUUCUCAUCUCUAGAAGGAUGAAAUAGAAAGUAUUGUAAAAGAGAUGCUCGAAAUAGGAGUUAUUCGGCCAAGUUACAGCCCCUACUCUUCACCGGUGCUCCUCGUACGAAAGAAGGACGGAACAUGGCGAAUGUGCGUUGAUUACCGAGCUUUCAAUGGUAUAACCGUCAAGGACAAAUACCCUAUUCUAGUAGUGUAUGAAGUUUUUGAUGAAUUAAAGGGAGCAUAAGUCUUCACAAAGCUGGACCUUCGAUCCGAGUAUCAUCUGUUAGGAUCGGAGUGGCACUAAGAUGAGGGUGAAUUAGUGCAGCGGAUUAAAACUUGUAAGUUUAAAAAUGAAUUCGUAAAUACGAGGAGAUUUCGUUUCGAUAGUAACUUGAGUAGAUGAAAAUCGAAAGCUAGCAGUAGUGUAAAUAAUAAUUUCAGGAAAAUAAGAACUCACACAUUCAAGGAACACACCAAUUUAAAGUGGUUCGGUCAAAAUGACCUACAUCCACUUGCGAAGCCUUCUUCGAAGAGGCUCCCAACUUCCACUAGCAAAUCACUUUGAAGGGGAAGGACAAACACCCCUCUUACAACCUUUUACAAUGGUUCACACUCUUACAAAUUUUCAAUGAGAAAGAAGGAGGUGAACACUCAAGUAAUUGAAAACAAGACUUGCUAAAGACUUUGCUAAGGCUUUUUUCUUUCAAUCUAUUGCUUCUCAAAAUUUAUAUUCUCUGCUGAGAAUUGAGGGGUAUUUAUAGACCCUAAGAUGAUUCAAAUUUGGGCUUCAAAUUUUGAAUUCUCUUAGGUUCCCAAUACUGGCGGUGCCACCGCCUGUCAGUGUCUGACACUAACAAUGGAUUGGCGGUGCCACCGCCGGACCUCUUGGGUGCUGGGCGGUGCCACCGCCCAGUCCGGUGGUUCCACCGCCCGACCUUACCGAUCAUUGGUUGGGCUUCAAAUCUGGCCCAAACCAAGUCAUAUUCGGGCCCAAUUGGCCCCUAACUAGGAUAUAAGAUUAUCCCUUAAUCCUAACCCUAAUUACAUGUAAACUACACAACUGAAAACAUAGUCCUAAGCAAGUUUUUAACCGGCAAACGUCGAGUCUCAUUACGGCGAGCUUUUCGGCGAUCUUCCGGCAGACUUCCGAUACACCCUUAGAUUUCUUCCGGUGGACUCCCAAUAGGCUCUCGAUCUUGUCGCGAGUUCAGCGAGUAGCCGAGCCUUCUUGGUGAUCUCCACGAACCUCCAACAAUUUCUUCAGCAGACUUCCGAAAGUCCCCGAUUUCUUCUUGCUUGGUUCCGGCAACAUCUCCGAUGAACCUUCGGAUUCUCGAACACCCAUCGAACUUGACUCCGGUAUCUUUGCUUUAUGUUUUCAGGCUAUCGUAGUUAAUCCUGCACACUUAACUCAAUAAUAUGGAUUAGAUUAAUUAAUCUAUCAAUUGAUUUCAUCAUCCAAAUCCGAGAUUCAACAAUCUCCCCCUUUUUGAUGAUGACAAUCAAUUGAUGACGGAGUUAAACAUAACUCCCCCUAUCUAUAUGCCAUAUUAUGAGAGGAUAAAAAUACUUGAAUUCAAUCUCUUUGAAUUCAAGCCUAAGCCGAUAAGUUCUAUCCGUUUGAACUUAUCGUUAUUCUCAAUAAGCAUGAGCAAAUAUGAAACUUCGUAUUUCUCAUAAUUUCAAGCUAUGAAAAUUAUUUUCAAGUCGAAUGAUAAAAGAUAAUUAUCAUUUUGACAAGAGAUAUGAACUUUCAACAUAAAUUUCAUGAUAUAAAUAUAAGGUAUGAUUUCAUAUGAUCAACCAAUCGAAGAACUUGCGAUAUUCUCAAUGAGUUUUGUGAUGCAUAUAAGACAUUUACAUUACACAAGCUUUUGCAAUUCAUAUAAGUCAUGCUAUCGAAUUGGCACAAGUCAUCACAAAUCAUGUUUUGCUCGUUCUUCUCCCCCUUUGUCAUCAACAAAAAGGAGAUGAGAUUUUAAGCGUACAAUUUGUGAUCAUAAAAUCGUUAGAAAAGGAUUUCACCAUUAAGAUCGAUCAUCCAAAAUUCAUCUCAUUAAAAGAAAUCACCAUUUUUCCAGAAUUCAUCUCAUUAAAAAUUCAGCAUUCAUCCAGAAUUCAUUUCAGCAUUCAUCCAAAAUUCAUCUCAGCAUUCAUCCAGAAUUCAUUUUAAAAAAUAUCAGCAUUCAUCCAGAAUUUAUCUCAUAAAAAAAAAAAUCAUCAUUCAUCCGGAAUGCAUUUCAAAAAUUCAGCUUUCAUUCAAAAUUCAUCUCAUUAAAAAAGCAUGGCUUUCACACAAAAGAAAGAAGAUAACAAAACUUUAACUUGACAUUAAGAGUAAUCAUACAAGGAGCGCAUGUCAAGGUAACAGAAGGCAUAUCGAUUAAUCCUUAGGAGGAAAUCCAUAGUUUUUAUACAUGACAUCUAUUUUUUUAUUUAUUUGUCGCAGUUCCUUCAAAAUUUCAAUUUGCUGAAUUUGAAUUUGCUCUUGUUGUGAUUUGAAUUGUUCUUGUUUUGAUUUGAUCUGAUGCAAUUCUGUCAUAAUGUGCACCUAAGUCUUUUCAGUAGAUUUCUAUUGAUGGUGUUAAAUCGAUCAACUUGAAUUAUUUCUUCAUCAGGCGAGACACAAAUAUCAUGGGCAAGUAUUAAUCGAGUGAUUAACCCCCUCAUAUGAUAACAUAGUAUCUUUAGUUAUUAUAUCCUGCAUGUGUCACCGGAUUAAGUAUCCAAAGCAAUUAUGCUAUCCAGUCAUAAUCCAGUACAUGGUGCUUAGGUCUAUUUGACUCAUUUCAUCAAGAUGAAAUUGCUUGGGAAGUAGUAUGCUAGUCAUGAUGUGAUGAAGAAUUUUAGAGUUAAAGGAUAGUAAGUGCUCGCAACUUUUGGGUAUCAUGGCUAGGUUCGGAUUUUCAAAGAUAGUUUCUAAGGUUUCGGAGUAAAUUGCUCCAAUUACAUUAACAAACCUAGGAUAAAUUGGUUCAUUGAUUUGUAGGAGAGGUAAGGCAUCUAAAUGUGCAAACCAUCUAAUGGGUUCUAGGUUUUCUAGUUCAUCUAGAUCAACAUGUUUACCCUUAUGUAUAGUUCUUGUUUCGAAAUUUAAAAACCUAAGAGCUACUUCUUUGGAUCUAAAAAGAUUUUGGUCAUAUGAAUCUCUUUCAACCCUUUUCCCUUUUGUUCUUGUUGAUCUCUUAGGAGCCAUUAUCUAGACAAAAUGAUAGAUCAAGAAUAUGAAACUGUGAAGAGUAGGCAAAAUAAUGAGAAGAGGAAGGAAAGAUUUCAGAUUUUACCUUAUGGAGAAUUCCUUGAAAGAUGGAGAGCUUGAACUAACAAGAAUCCCUCUCCUAGGCUUCUAAAGGUUGAAAUGAGGGUUAGAGAAGUUAUGAAGGAGUUGUGGGAGAUUUAGGGAGAGUUCUCACGGGUUGGGGGCGGUGUCAUCGCCAAUCCGAGCGGUGCCACUACCUGGCGACCGAGCGCUCAGAUGGUGCUACCGUCGGUUCUGGCGGUGCCACCACUGGCAUGCCAAGAAAGAGAAAGAAAAAAUUUCUUUACUCCCCCUUUUUGUUUUUCAGAGGUGUUUGACUCUAGGAUAUGAUCUUGGAUUGCACUUUAAUAUAUCAUUUGGAAUCGAAAGAGAAGGAAGAAAUCAAAUCCACGAAAGAAUAGAAAGAGAUGAAAAACUUUUCGGAAAAUACAUUCAAACAAGCUUAUUCUCAGGGACAAUUUAACAUGCCUAGUUCCCUUCUAAUGAAUUCAAAUUGGUCUUCAUUUAAGGCUUUUGUAAAAAUGUCUGCUAAUGGAUGCUUUGUGUCAAUAAACUCUACAACGACAUUAUUGUUAAGGAUAUGAUCGCGUAUGAAAUGAUGCCUAACGUCGAUAUGCUUAGUUCUAGAGUGUUGAAUUGGAUUUUUGGCAAAAUCAAAUUAACAUAUGUCAAAUUAACAAUUGAAUUGAACUGGAUUUUUUUUUUUUUUUACUUACAAAAAAAAAAUUGGAUUUUUGGUAAGACAUAUAGCACUUGUAUUAUCACAUUUUAUGGGAAUGUUUUUCAAGUAAAUUUCAUAGUCUUCUAAUGUAUUCUUCAUCCAAACAACUUGUGCACAGCAUACACUUGCAGCAAUGUAUUCGGCUUCCGUCGUAGAUAGUGCAACUGAGUUUUGUUUCUUGGAAGUCCAAGAAACAAGUGCAUGUCCUAAAAAUUAGCAUGUUCCGGAUGUACUUUUUCUAUCUAUCCUGCAUCCGCCAAAAUCGACAUCUACAUAAGCUAUUAAAUCGAAUUUAUCCGAUUUCGGAUACCACAAUCCUAAAUUGGGAGUUCCUUUAAGAUAUCUAAAUAUUCUUUUAAUACUCUUAAGAUGAGAUAAUUUAUGAUUAGAUUGAAACCUAGUGCAAAGUCCUACACUAAACAUGAUAUCCGGUCUAGUCGCGGUGAGAUAAAGUAGACUACCUAUCAUUCCCCUAUACAUUUUUUGAUCGAAAUUCUCACCAUUUUCAUCCAUAUCUAACUUCGUCGAAGUACUUAUAGGAGUGUUUAUCACUUUUGAACCAUCCAUAUUAAAUUAUUUUAACAAUUCUAAUGUAUAUUUAUAUUGAUUAAGAAAUAUACCAUCACUAAGCUAUUUAAUUUGUAAUCCUAAAAAGAAGGUUAAUUCACCCAUUAGACUCAUUUCAAAUUCAUGACUCAUACACUUGGCAAAUAAUUCACAUAGUGAUUCAUUCAAAAAACAAAAAAUAAUAUCGUCAACAUAAAUUUACACAAUAAGAAAAUUAUUUUUAAAGUGUUUGAUAAACAAUGUAGUAUCAACCUUGCCUUUGGUAAAAUUAUUUAAAAUAAAAAAGGUACUAAGCCUUUCAUACUAAGCUCUAGGAGCUUGUUUCAAGCCAUAGAGAGCCUUAGUCAAUUUGAAUACAUGAUUAGGAAGAAGAGAAUUUUCAAAUCCGGGAGGUUAUUCGACAUAUACUUCUUCGAAAAUAAAACCAUUCAAGAAGGCACUUUUGACAUCCAUUUGAAAUAGUUUAAAAUUAUUACUACUAGCAUAGGCAAGGAGCAUCUUAAUGGCUUCUAAUCUUGCCACAGGAGUGAAGGUUUCUUCGUAGUCGAUACCUUCUUCUUGGUUGAAACCUUUGGCCACUAAUCUAGUCUUAUUUCUAACCAUGAUACCGCAUUCGUCUUGCUUGUUUCUAAAGACCCAUUUAGUACCAAUGACUAAAUGAUCACUAGGUCUAGGAACAAGCUUCCAUACCUCAUUCCUUUCAAAUUGGUUCAAUUCCUCUUGCAUUGCAAUGACCCAAGAAUCAUCUUUCAAGGCCUCGUUAAUGCAUUUAGGUUCGAUUUGAGAAAGGAAGGUGGCGUUAGAAAAAAAAUUCUUGAAGGAUUAACGAGUUUGAACCCCUUUUGAUGUAUUUCCUAGAAUUAGCUCCUUUGGAUGAGCAUCCACAUGCUUCCAUUCCUUAGGUAAGGAAGAAGAUGCAUCCAAGUUGCUAUUUUGAGGAGGGGGUUCAUUUAAAUUCAAAUUUUUAAAACCAAUAUCAUCAUCAAAAUUAUUUUUAUUUAACUCAAAAAUUUCAUUGAAAACUACAUGAAUAGACUCUUCUAUAACUAAGGUUCUUUUGUUAAAAAUAUAAAAAGCCUUAGAAAUGGAAGAGUAACCAAGAAAGGUGCCUUCAUCAGAUUUGGCAUCAAAUUUUCCUAAAGCAUCAUUUUUAUUCAAAAUAAAGCAUUUGCAACCAAAAACUUUAAAAUAAGAAACAUUUGAUUUUUUGUUAUUUCAUAAUUCAUAGGGAGUUUUUGAUAGAGACGGUCUUAUUAGAACCCUAUUCAUGAUGUAGCAAGUCAUAUUCACGGCUUCAGCCCAAAAACACUUGGGUAGACUAUGUUCAUUCAACAUAGUUCUUGCUAUUUCUUGUAGGUUUCUUUUUUUUCUUUCAACUACUCCAUUUUGUUGAGGAUUUCUUGGAGUGGAGAAGUUGUGGUUAUAUCCAUUAACUUCACAAAACUUUGGAAGUCACAGUUUUGAAAUUUGCCAUCAUGAUCACUCCGAAUUGAUGAAAUCAUGAAGUCUUUUUUGUUUUGAGUGAGUUUACAAAAUUUAGAGAAACAUUUGAAAUAAUCACUUUUGUGAGCCAAGAAAUAGGUCUAAGUGUAUCUAGUAUAGUCAUCUACAAUUACAAAAGCAUAUUUGCUUCCUCCUAGACUUGUUGUGUCAAUUGGUCCAAAUAAGUCCAAAUGGAUCAAUUAUAAUAGUCUAGUGGUGCUAAUUUGAUUUUUUGGUUUGAAACUAGUUUUUAUUUGUUUACCUAGUUGACACGCAUCACAUACUUUGUCCUUAACAAACUUCAUAUUGGGAAUCCCUCGUACUAAUUCUCUAGAUGAGAUCUUAGAUAUUAGUUUCAUACUUGCAUGGCCUAAUCUCCUAUGCCAAAAGCAUCAUCAUUUAAAGUGGAGAAGCACAUUUCAUUACUUAGUUCAUCAAGGUUGAUGAUGUAGACAUUAUUUUAUUUUAAAGCAAUCAUUGACAAGUUAUUGUUUGGUUUUUCAAUAAUGCACGCAUUAGAUUCAAAUCUAAUGAUGUAACCUUUAUUGUAUAAUUGACUAAUACUUAAGAGAUUAUGUUUUAAUCCAUCAACUAGUAAUACAUCAUCAAUUGAAAAAUAUGAUUUAUUACCUAUGGUUCCCUUGCCAAUGAUUUUGCCUUUGUUGUUGUCUCCGAAGGUGACGUACCCUUCUUCUUUGCUAGUGAGCAUAGAGAAAUGAGAUGGAUCUCCAGUCAUGUGUCUUGAGCAUCCACUAUCAAGAUAUCAUCCCUUGUUCCUAGCUUGUGGGUUUGUCUAUAAAAGAGGAUGGUUUUUAGGUACCCAUUUGAUUUUAGGUGCCUCAAAAAUUGAUCUACCAAAUUUGUUAUUCAUCAUUGAAGUAUUUAUAGUUUCUUUAGGAACUCAUAUCAACUUAUGUGGACUAAUUUUCCUAAAUGGAUAUUUGUAAGCAACAUGUCCGGAUUUACAACAAAAGUUGCAUUUCAAACAAGGUGAAACGUGUAAUGUGGGUCCUUUAAUAAAAAUGGUAGGAUUUUGGUGAGAUCCUCUCAUAAAACCAAUUCCACUUCUAUUUGCGACAUGACCCUUGUUUGCAAGGAUUAUGUCCAAUCCCUUGCUACUGACCUUAAACUUAUUUAAGGUCUCUUUAAGUAGUAAAUUUUUAUUUUUUAUUGCUUCUAAGUGUUCACACUUAGAGCAUGGAGGAGUUUGAAGACUAUCAAGCUUAUUUUGUAGCAAGACAUGCUCUUUCUUUAAAAGAUUAAACUUCUUACUAAUAGUUCUACACUCAUCAAAUAAUUUGUGAAAAGCGAUAGAAAGUUCAUCGAAAGAUAAAUCUUUAUUAAUUAAAUCCAUUAGCGCAAAGUUUGCCUCCUCUUUAUUGUUAGCUUCUUCACUUUCUGAAUCACUUGAAUCGUCCCAAGUCGCUUUUAAAGCUUUCUUCUUCUUUGAUUGCUUCUUCUUGGCUUGGGGGCAUUCAUUUUUGAAGUGCCCCGGCUUCUUGCAUUCGUAGCAUAUUACUUGAUCCUUUUUAUGUUCAAGUUUGUUUUUAGUGUUAUUUUUAAAUUUGUUUUUUCUUAUAAAUUUUAAAAAAUUUUGAAUUAAAAGUGCAAUAUCAUCGUCACUGUCCUCAUCACUUAUGUUCUUUUCAAGUGAUCUUCUUGUGAUGUAAGCGCCAUAUCCUUCCUGUUCUUUGGAAGGGGGUUCUCGAGCUCUUCAUGAGCAUGACAUAUCAUUUCGUAGGUCAUUAGAGACCCAAUAAGUUCUUCAAGAGGAAAUGUUUUAAGGUCCUUGGCCUCUUGAAUGACUGUAACUUUUGGAUCCCAACUUUUUUGAAGGGAUCUUAAGAUUUUAGUUACUAGUUCAAAGUUAGAAAAAUCUUUACUAAGAGCUUUGAAUCCAUUGAUGACAUCCGUGAAACGGGUGUAUGUCUCCGAUGGACUCACUUGGUUUCAUUCGAAAAAGUUCAUAAGAGUGCACAAGAAUGUUGAUUUUGGACUCUUUCACUCGGCUAGUGCCUUCAUGAGUGACCUCUAAGAGUUCUCCAAAUAUCAAAAGUCGAAUCACAAAUUGAAACGCGAUUAAAUUCAUUUUUGUCUAAUGCACAAAAUAAGGCAUUCAUAGCCUUUGUGUUUAAAGCAAAAACCUUCUUCUCUGAUUCAUCCCAUUUGCUCAUCGAAAGAGAAGAUUUUUUAAAUCCAUUUUUGACAAUAGUCCAAAGCUCAAAAUCCAUGGAAAUGAGGAAGAUCCUCGUACGAGUCUUCCAAUACAUAUAAUCCGACCUAUUAAAUAUAGGUGGACGUGUAAUAGAAUGACCCUCAUGCAUGCCGAAGUAAGUCAUCUCUCUUUGGUAUUAAAUCAAAUAUGAGAGUGAGCCUAGCUCUGAUACCAAUUGUUAGGAUCGGAGUGGCACUAAGAGGGGGGGGGGGGGGGGUGAAUUAGUGUAGCAGAUUAAAACUUGUAAGUUUAAAAAUGAAUUUGUAAAUACGAGAAGAUUUUGUUUCGAUAGUAACUUGAGUAGAUGAAAAUUGAAAGUUAGCAGUAGUGUAAAUAACAAUUUCAGGAAAGUAAGAACUCACACAUUUAAGGAACACACCAAUUUAAAGUGGUUCGAUCAAAAUGACCUACAUCCACUUGUGAAGCCUUCUUCGAAGAGGCUCCCAACUUCCACUAGCAAAUCACUUUGAAGGGGAAGGACAAAUAUCCCUCUUACAACCUUUUACAGUGGUUCACACUCUUACAAAUUUUCAACGAGAAAGAAGGAGGUGAACACUCAAGCAUUUGAAAAUAAGACUUGCUAAAGACUUUGCUAAGGCUUUUUUUUUUUCAAUCUAUUGCUUCUCAAAAGUUGUAUUCUCUGUUGAGAAUUGAGGGGUAUUUAUAGACCCUAAGAGGAUUCAAAUUUGGGCUCCAAAUUUUGAAUUCUCUUGGCUUCCCGAUGCUGGCGGUGCCACCGCCUGUCAGUGUCUGAGACUGACAGUGUACUGGCGGUGCCACCGCCCAGUCCAGCGGUGCCACCGCCCAGUCCGGCGGUGCCACCAUCCAGUCUAGCGGUGCCACCACCGGACCUCUCGGGUGCUAGGCGGUGCCACUACCCAGUCCGGCGGUUCCACCGCCCGACCUUAUCGGUCAUUGGUUGGGCUUCAAAUCCGGCCCAAACCAAGUCAUAUUCGGGCCCAAUUGGCCCCUAACCAGGAUAUAGGAUUAUCCCUUAAUCCUAACCCUAAUUACAUGAACACUACGCAACUGAAAAUAUAGUCCUAAGCAAGUUUUUAACCGGCAAACGUCGAGUCUCCUUCCGGUGAGCUUUCUAGUGAUCUUCUGGCAAACUUCUGAUACACCCUCAGAUUUCUUCCAGCGGACUCCCAAUAGGCUCCCGAUCUUAUGGCGAGUUUAGUGAGUAGCUGAGCCUUCUCGGUGAUCUCCGCGAACCUCUGACGAUUUCUUUAGCAGACUUCCAAAAGUCCUCGAUUUCUUCUUGGUUGGUUCUGACAGCAUCUCCGACGAAUCUUCGGAUUCUUGAACACCCAUCGAACUUGACUCCGGUAUCUUUGCUUUAUGUUUUCAAGCUAUCGUAGUUAAUCCUGCACACUUAACUCGAUAAUAUAGAUUAGAUCAAUUAAUUCAUUAAUUGAUUUCAUCAUCAAAAUCCGAGAUUCAAUAUCAUCAAAUACGAGUAUGCGAAGAAGACAUUCCAAAAACCUCCUUUCGAACACACAAUGGCCACUAUAAAUUUUUGGUAAUGCCCUUUGGUCUCACCAAUGCUCCCUCCACCUUCCAGAGCCUUAUAAAUAAUAUUUUCUAGAAUUAUCUUUGUAAGUUUGUGCUAAUUUUCUUCGUCGAUAUCCUUAUUUACAGCCCUUCUCUUGAAAGUCAUUUUUAGCACUUACGACUUAUUUUGACGAUUUUGUGAGAACAUGUUCUUUUUGUCAAAAAAUCGAAGUACAACUUUCUUCAAUAGAAGGUGGAAUAUCUUAGGCAUAUCAUAUCAGAGGAAGGUGUAUCGAUGGACCCCUCUAAAAUUGAAGCAAUGCAGAACUGGCCGACCCCGAGGAACAUAAAAUCGCUACACGACUUUCUCGGUUUAACAAGCUAUUACCGUAAGUUCGUGAAAAACUAUAGAAAUAUCAGUGCACCCUUUACUUUGUUACUAAAAAAAUAUGCUUUCCAAUGGUUGGACAAAGCCACCAUCACCUUCGAUGAACUUAAAGCCGCAAUGACAACAACGCCCGUACUAGCGCUGCCCAACUUCGGCAAGACUUUUGUAUUGAAGUUGAUGCCUCUGGAGUCGGAAUUGGUAUUGUACUAAUGCAAGAUGCUCACCCCCUCACUUAUACUAGUAAGGCGUUAUCUCAUUCCCAUCUCAAGAUGACUAUUUACGAUAAAAAGAUGCUUGCGAUUGUGCAUACGAUGGCCAAAUGGAGAUCGUACUUAAUUGGGUGAUGCUUUCAAAUCAAGACCGACCAUAAAAGCCUAAAAUAUUCCUUAGAGCAGAAGAUAUCUACCCCCGAGCAGCAAAAAUAGAUAACAAAGCUUCUUGGAUAUGAUUAUGAAAUAACUUACAAAAGGGGAAAGAGAAUGCUAUUGCAAAUGUGCUUUCACAACUAUCCGAGCAAGUUGAUUUUUCGGUCGUUUUACUUCCGACUAGCGACUUCCUUGAAGAUAUUAAAAGGGAAUGGUAGGAAGAUCCGAAAACUAGUAAGAUCAUAAAAAAAUUGGAGAAAGCACCAUGCUUCGUGGCUCAUUACAGUUGGGACUCAAAAUAAUUGUGCUAUAAGGGACGCAUUGUACUUACGCCAAAUUCUACUUGCAUAAAGACAAUCCUUUAAGAGAUACAUUCCACAUCUAUGGCCAGGCACUCCGGGUUCCUUAGAACCUAUAAGAGAAUUAUGCAAAUUUUUUAUUGGGAAAGGAUGAAAAAUAUUAUUGCUAUAUUUAUGGCACAAUAUGAUGUAUGUCAAAGACAUAAAGGCGAGACAGUGGCAAGACCCGGAAAGCUGUAAUCCUUACUUGUCUCAGACUUAAUAUGGACUGAUAUAUCAAUGGACUUCAUCGAAGGGCUUCCCUCAUCACAAGGAAAAGCUCAAGCAAGGAUGAAAAAGUAAUAUAAUCAACACAAAGGCGAAAGAUAAUUUUCAAUAGGAGAUUGGGUCUUCUUAUAGCUCCAGCCAUACAAGCAAACAUCAAUCCAUACCAGAGCAUCUAUAAAGCUUUCACCUCGGUUCUAUAGACCUUAUAAAAUUCUAGAGUGCAUCGGAGUGGUAGCAUACAAAUUGGACUUAGCCGCCAGCUCCCGAAUUCAUCCAGUCUUCCAUGUGUGAUGUUUAAAGCUCAAGCUGGGAUAAAAUGAGACAACCCAAAGCUAUCUACCAAGUAUGACUAUCCAAGGAGGACUUCAGACCUAACCGAGUGUCAUUAUUAAUCAACGGAUCGUGACUCGACGACGAUGACCCACUAUUGAAAUGCUAAUACAGUGAGUGGACCUACCAGCAGAAGAUGUCACUUGGGAGAACUACAACGACUUGAAGAUCAAAUUCCCAAAAUUCAUAGAUCGUCAGCCUCGAGGACAAGACUGGUUUGAAGAGAGCGGGUCUAUUAGGACUCUAGCUAGGAGAGUCCUAAUAGAGUUUUAUUGAAAGGGGCAUUCAUGUAAAGCCUACAUAGCCGACCCGUAUUAAAGAGGUGAAGAGGUCGGCUAAGGUUAGGGUUAGUUGGGAGGUUGCUUAUUAGAGUAUGAGUCUUAUUAGGAGUUGGUUAGAAGUAGGAGUCUUGAGUAGGAGUCCUAUUAAAUUUGAGAUUUAGAAGCCCUAUAAAUAGUCAUGUAUUCAUCCUCUUUUGACAAGCAAUAGAUGAAUUUUUUUAGCAGCCUUUGAGCAACAACUUGGAAGAAGGAACCCCUAUAGAGUUCCAAGGAGGCUAAUCCCCUAAAGACUAUUGGGAAAUCUUGGGGUGACAUCAUAUGCGCAGCGGAAGAACAAGAAAAUAAAAUCCCUAAUUUCCCAAAAAGAUGUUCGUCGUCGUGCGAAGAUUGGUGCGCAAAAAUCCAUGAAACAAACUGCGUAUAAAAUAAAUUGUGUUACCUAGGGAGAUCGUAUAUCCCUGUUUCCUUGUAGAUCUCUACGAGAUAGUGAAGGAGGUCAAGCGUCCUCCUCUCUAGCAGUAAUCCACACAGUAGGGCUGCGAUGACGCUUCUCAAAACUCCAGGCCUGCUUUGAGGUGGAGAGGGGGAGGAGAAUAUGAGAGGCAAGCAAAGGCUCUAGCCUAUGAACCACUGAAUCCCUCCUAUUUAUAGAGGUCCCCUGUCAAACCCUAAUGGAUCCUCCCCUAGUGGGUAUUGGAUCUGCAUCCAAUUACCCAAGCCUUUUAGAUUAGUAGAUCGCUAUCCAAUAAUCUCUCAUGGGCACUUAUUGGAUCUCAUCCAUGGGAUCCAAUAAUUCAGGGGCUUAUUGGAUAUCCAAUAAGAUAGGGGCUCCGGCGAAUAUCUCAUAUCCGAACCUCUACUCAUCACAAUGCAUACCAUAUGUGUGUGACCCUCUAGGCCCAAUAUCAAGCUGGCCAUGAGUCAUACCUGUCAGAACUCUUUCUAACUUAGUGAAUUAUUAUCUUUAUAAUAAUUCACUUGACUCAUCGAUUACGGACGUACUAGGCCACUACGCCGUAGGCCCAAACGAUACAAGGGAAUCCAAUCCAUUGGACCUAUCUAUCCUCAGUUAUCGUAUACCAAUAGUCCCUCAUCCAUCUAAUAUCCCAGAGACCGUAUAUCAGGUUUGGUGAUCACAGUAUGUAGAGAGACGGUCGAAGGCUUAAUAGUCCCAUUUUAGUUGGGUUUUGUGGCCGCUUUAGGCUUGUAAAUAUAGGUUGUAUCAUGUGGACACUUGUGAGAGAUUUUCGAUCUAUAGUGGACCAAUUUGACCCUUUGUUGUGCAACUAUUCAGAGCUUGUAAAGUUUGUUUGUAAUUUACAUUGUCUAUAAAAUGUUUUUGGAAAUGCUUGCUUAUGGAUCCCGAGUGAGGCGUUUUCUCUAACCCGUUUUCUCUUUUGUGGGUCCUAAAGGACCAUGGGAUGCUUCGGGGAGGCUGACCUUUGCGGAAGGACAUGCAAGGGUGCCACACGACUUAGGCAAAACCAGCUAAGUCUGUGACAGAUGGUAUCAGAGCAGGACAAGCACUCAUAGAAACACUUGGCAUGCAAACGUGGGGGACCUAGCGGAGUUGCGUUGAGGGUAGUCAGCACACGCACGAUCAUUUGGGAGAAAACGGUCAUAGAGAUAUAGGGAAAAGGAGUCGCUCGGAGGAGCGAGCAUCUGAGAUUGGCAUUUAGAGGAAUGGCCAACCCUUCGCGCAAGAGGCACCAUGAGAUCAAGUAAGCUUGGAAGAAUGCGGAGCACACAAAGGUUGGAAUGGCUGAGUUUGAGCUACGGCUCAAUGUUGACAACUAUACUUGAUGGUGCUCAAGGCAAGCGAGGCCCUUGGUAAAGGAUGAGACCAUGAAAGGUGGAAUGAGUUGCUUAGCGACCGAAAGAGUUAUGCAAAGCUCACAGAGGUGAGGGGAAUUGCUAACUCAAAGAAUUCGGUACUCAUGCAUGUGNNNNNNNNNNNNNNNNNNNNCUUGUAUGCGGACGAUGGAAUGUUCGCGGCCAUCCCAAGGCGACCGAAACUCGGCGCCAUGGAGCAUUGAAACUUUCUCUUCGGCAUGUGAAGGAUACGUCUGUAGGAGGCUGAAGUGUGCAAUGAGUUCAGCAUGUUGCUAGACCUUGAGUGGUAUAGCGAGGGUUGUAUUGACGUGGAAUCGUAAUCUAGCAAAUGCAUUUACAGGAGACAGAACAAUGCAUAGUUUAUUCAGCAAAUUGGAGUAGUCCAAGGGGAUGGUGGUCUCCGUAAUGAAGAGAGAUGUUGCUCCAAUGGGACAGUUAUCCAGGAGGGAUAGAUCCCGGUUUCUCUAGAGGGAAAAUCAUGUGCAAUAGACCGCAUAUGUUGAGGAGGAGUACCUUAACAAACAACAACUCCACGAAGCUCAAUGGAUGAAGCAAGUGGCGAGGAGUCAUCACAUGAUCUCGCUUGAGAGAAUGCAUUGAUGGAUGCAUUUCGAGAUCAAGUGGGGAAGUGACGCAAAGCAAUAUAAAUGAAGGCACACUUAGAGUCGAUAUGGAGAUUGGACUUAAGAGAGGGCUGACCCGUGGAAUGGUGGGCGCGAGGGCUACCAUCAACUCAAUGCAAAAACGAGGAGCGGAGCAACUUGGGUGUAACUUGGUGAAGUACCCAAGUCGCAUAAAAGGAGCCAGCAUAGAAGAUGGAACAUGGAGCGGAGGCACAGUACUUUCCUUGGACAGAGGUCAAGGACAUGAACUCUUGCAGAGGCAAAAGAAGGAUCAUGUUGUUCCAAGGGUCCUUUAUUCUGAUGGAGCGGACUCAUCUUGCAUGGUGCCAAAGACGAAGGGAGCUUAUGGGCAUAUACACCUUAUCUCAGAGAAGCAUUUGAUGGAGGAACUAAGGCGACUCAACUUACGGAGGUGAAGUUGGGUUCACAAGGCCUUGGCACGGGGCAAGAGGACGCGGAGGCGGGUACUCUUGAAGAAUAUGCCACAAUGUUGCCAUUCAAGUUGCCAUGAAGGAAGCGGUGCAUAAUAGAGAUUGUGCUGGUAGGGGCAAAGGCCCAAGAUCCGGACAAUGGUGCACCAUUUUCAGUGAAGUCGGUAGACUUUGGGAGCUACUAGGCGACAGACUGUCCUAGAUCGGUGCUUCAUCUAGGUGUGACACAAGAGUGGGUGGAUGAAGGUCGAUUGCCAAAGGAACGAACAAAAUCGAAGGUGGAAGAGACCCUACGAUGUAUUGGCAAAGGCCACACAUGGAGGGAUCACAAUUCGAGUUUGUCCCACAAGGAUCAGAAUAUAAUGGAGAUGUCACCAGGAGGCGACAUGGUAUAGCGGAUCGUGGUGGAACAGUUCGUGGCAAUACGAUACACACGACAUAGUCCCAUGAGGGACUAGAUCAUACAGAGGUAUGAUUGGGAGCUACUGGAAGCUCCACUUUAGUGAACAACAUGAUGGCAAGAAGGGCUAUGGAUUCAAUGAGUGAAGGCCAUGGUACCGUAGAGGUGGGUCUUCCGUGCAUGCAUCAAAUUUUGCAUCGGAUGAAAGCCUUAGUCAUCAGCAUAUGGGGGCUGUGUUCCACUAAGGGAAAAGUUCGAAUGCAAGUACCAGUGAGUCCCAUGGGAGGGACUUGAUCAUGCAGAGGUAUGAUCGAAGCAGUUGGAGAGUUUGGACUGCUCUAGAGCCCAUUUUUGCUUAAGGGAGCCCGACAAGUCAGAGGACAAGGUCGAGUAAGCAAACGUUGCUUUCAAGGAAGCUAAGGAGAACAAAAUCGAUGCAAAUCCUACAACGUGAUGGCAGAGGCCAUGCAUGGGAGUUGUAGUUAGCCUCUCCAUCGACCAAAGAUAGCUGCUUGGAGAACAUAGAGGUGUUGAAGCAAGGGGUCGAAAGGGGCGAGGAAGCGACGACGAGUCUAGAGGGACUUAGAUACCCAAAAUCAAGCAUCAGUUAGAAUAGAGGUGGACUCGAAGAGUCCCACAGAGACAUAUCUACUAAUCGUGAAGAAAAGGGAUGUAGAUACGAAGCGAUGGAUAGUAGGGCCAUGGGCAUGGCAGCACUAUGGUACCAUAGAGGUGGGACUUCCGCGAAAGUCAUUGAUCCCUUGCUCUCAUGGAGGGAGAGCGCUUGGUCGUGAAAGGGGCCGAGGAGGUGGAGCAUGCAGAGGCAAACUCCAAAUACCGAGACAAGGCUGAAGGGCAAAGGCCAAGGAACUUCGUAAGACCGAUGUCAACGAGCUUCUCAUCAAUAUAGCUAAAAGUGAAGGACUUCGGGUCAUGCAAGAGUGCACGACCAAGGAAUGAAGCAUGCAAUAUGCGGUGUUGUACCUUUGCUACUCAGUGGAGUAGGCGGCCGAGUUGAUGGAGAAGACGGUACAAUCCCAGAGGUGACCAAAACUAUUAGAGACUUACUCUAAGUUGGGGUGAAAACUUCUUGCAUUCCAGAAGUUCGAUGGCAUUGAGAAAGUGAAUCAUAGUAGCUAACUCAAUGCAAGGAGUACAAACACUUCAAGUGCUUCAAAAGUGUGAGCAAAGAGUAGGCGAAGGCCAGUAACUAGCUCGAUGCAUGGAGUACAAUCUCGAGGAGGCGGGCGAAGUCAAGUAACCUUUGCUAUCUUAACUUUUAAGAGACUGGGCAAAACCGAGUACCCCAAUUCUCUUAUCUAUCCAGUAGAGGAGCUUUUCAUAAGUUCAAAGACCCUUCGAAGAUAAUAGAAGACAAUGGUUGUCAAAUCUUCACUGAUGGUGAUCAAUGCUACUAAGAGUAGACUAUCUGCUUUAUUUUCCAACAGAAUGCCAAUCGAAAGCGGAAGUGAUGCAAAUCUACUUGGAAGUGACAGCUAAAUGAAAAAAGAGUCGAUGGACAUUUUGUGGAGAAAGGACCCAAAACUUUAAAAGUUUACGAGGCGAUACUCGUUAAAGCUCCAACAAGCAUCCACCCAGUUCAAUUAGUAUGUGGUAUUUGAGAGACUAGCAUAUAGUAAGGAUGGUCUUUUCCUUCAUCUAGAGGAUCCGUAAAAAUCAACAAGGAUCAACACAACUCAGCCAACCCUACACUAGAGUCAAAGUCAUUGGCGAGUUGAAAUAGCAUAGCGGAUCAAAAGUUUGACUACUCAACAACAGCAGCGAAGAGCAAUUGGGAGCCAAGAGGCGCAUUGCAGCUGGAGCAGAAAAUUGAAGACUCAGCAAAGGCGAGGAGUUGCAGUGUCGGCAAAAGGCUUCGACGAGGACAUCGAAGGAAUAAGUAGGGGAGAAUGUCAUGGAUAAACUUUUAAAUAGGAUGUUUGAUGUAAUGCUUAUGUAUGUCCAUGUCUUUUGGUAUGUUCAUGCUUUGCACAGCAUAUAGAGGGACUGUUGAAGGCUUAAUAGUCUCAUUUUAGUUAGGUUUGGUGGUCGCUUUAGGCUUAUAAAUAAAUGUUAUAUUAUAUGGACACUUGUAAGAGAUUUUCGGUCUAUAGUGGAUCAUUUUGACCCUUUGUUGUGCAACUAUUCAGAGCUUAUAAAGUCUGUUUAUAAUUUGCAUUAUCUAUGAAGUGUUUUCAUAAAUAUUUGCUUAUGGAUCCCGAGUGAGACAUUUUCUUUAACCUCUUUUCUCUUUUGUGGGUCCUAAGGGACCAUGGGAGGCUUCGAGGAGGCUUCGGGGAGGCUGACCUUUGCGGAUGAAUACGUAAGGGUGCCGCACAACUUAGGCAAAACCAGCUAAGUUCGUGACAGCAUGGUGCUGUCAGACCCAUAUGGUUUCUUCUCGAGUCUUGCUCUAAUCGGAUUCUCCUGGAGAACUCUUUCUCUCUUAAUCCGAAUGACCCUGGCCAAGGAUUUGUUUGAGCAAGAACACAUGGGAUAUUCCUCUCAUAAUGUCGAGAGUGGAUGAUCCUCUAUCGACACUCAAUAGCCCUCGUAAAGUCAACUACCACUCUAAAUGACCAGUUAUACUAGAUCUGGGACAUCCAAACCUAUAAGUCUGGUAUCAAAGAGUGAAGCACUCAUACAAGACAUCUUUAUUGUCUCAAGUCUAAGGACCAGAUACACCACUAGGACUACGAAAUCACUAUCUGACAAUAAGGCAUCAAUCAAUGAACUCAUUCUCCAAUGAGCAUAUGUACUGUAUCUCUAGUGUCCCCAUACGAGCAACUAUGAGACCAACUACAUCCAUCAUGUAGAUGGGUAUACAGCACACCAGUCUGUUUGGUUAUCACGAUAUCCCUCUCGAGUAAUCUAUGAUUGAGAUUAUUUAGGAUCUGUGUUUAAAGGUAAAUUGCUCUUAUUAUCGUGAUCUCAUCACGAUCCGAUUCCCAUUGCACAGAUCCAAGGAUAUCAUAAUAUAUACAUGUAUAUAUGCAAUAGUUAAUAUAAAGUGAUAAAUGCCAAAAUAUAAUAAGCAAAAAGAUUCUGUGUCAAGUCACACGUGCUAUCACUCACAUGAUUGGCUUGUUGGGCACCUAUGACUAGCAAAGACAUCAACCCCAAGCUUAGAAUCUGCUAGGGUACUAUCAGUCACACAUAUGGUAGGUGUUGUGAUGAGUAGAGAUUCGGAUAUGAGAUAUCCGUCGGAGCCCUUAUCUUAUUAGAUAUUCAAUAAACCCUUAAAUUAUUGGAUCCUAUCGAUGAAAUCUAGUAAGAGUCAAAGAGAGAUUAUUGAGUAGAGACCCACUAAUCUAAGAGGCUUAGGUAGUUGGAUGGAGAUCUAGUAUAAAAAAAGGUAAGAUCUAUUAGGGUUACGUUGAUAGGAGACCUCUAUAAAUAGGAGGAAACCAAAAGGCCAUGGACUAGGCUUUUUGGCUGCUACAUCAUAUUCUCCUCUCUCCCUCUCCUCCUCAGCCAGUAGCACUUGCUUAGGGCAUGUGGACAAAAAGAAGGGGCAACCCUUUCUUGAUUACAUGGUGCGCACGAAGAGGAGAUUUAGGUAGCGAUUUAAGUAGCAUCUUCGUAGCCCCUGGCAUGUAGAUUACCGCUAGAGAGGAGGAUAGUUGACUUCCUUCAUUCUCACCCAGAGAUUUGUAGGAAUUCAUUGAUAUAUAAUAUCCCUAGGUAACACAAUCUUCCUUAUACGUGUAGUUUUUCUAUUUUGCUCGUUUUUAGCACCAAUCUUCACACAAUGAUGAAACCCUUUUGUGGAAAUAUAGGAUUUUUGUUUCAUUUCUUCUACUGUGCAUGUGAUAUCGCCCUUAGUUUUCCCAACAGUUGCAUCAGAGUUGGAUUGCUCAUGCAAAAGAUUGGUUUUUAAAUUAUGUGUGUUAUGUUCAGUCGCGUAGAAUUAUUUUACGUGAAUGCUGCGAUUUUUUUAUUAUAGUUUUUAAAUAUAUACUGCUCAUUUUCUACUAUUAAGAGGUGUUUUAGAGUGAGCUUUUGAUAUCAAAUUCGUUGACACAAAAGGGGAAGAGGGGGCAACAACUAUUGUUGCCCUUUGUAUUGGCCAAAGGCAACUUGCAACCUUGGCUGAGAGCACCACCUACUAGUUAUAGGUGCUUUGCAAGACAAUCACAAGAAUGAUGAUACGUGUAACAUAAUAUGCACUCUUUUUACUUAUUAUAUUAUUUGAUAUUUUUAUCACUUUACAUUACUUGUUGAGAGAAAAAUUUAGUCAUCUAAAUUUGUCGUACUUCCUUUGACGAAAAGAUGAGAUCAAGAUUGCAUCUAGAUAGAGGUCAUCAACGUCAUUGAGUCUUACCCUUUUCUUUAUAGCAUUCAAAUCAAAAUUUUCUUCUAAUAACUUUUAUUGUUUCACAACCAGUCUAGCUAUAAAACUUAUAGAUUUUCUACUAUGUGCAUCAACUACAAUAUUGGCUUUACUCAGGUGACAACAGAUAGUACAAUCAUAAUCCUCUAGAAGUUUUAUCUAUCUCUAUUGCCUCAUAUUUAACUCUUUAUGAAUAAAAAUAUACUUUAAACUCUUGUGAUCAGUAAAGACUUCAAAUAUUCGCCCAUACAAGUAAUGCCUCUAAAUCUUUAGAGCAAAAAUAAAUGCUAUCAAUUCUAAAUCAUAAGUUGGAUAAUUCAGUUCACAACUCUUUAGUUGUCUAGAAGCAUAAGUAAUCACUUUCUUUUUCUUACAUCGAAAUACAUUCAAUGCCCUUUCUUGAAGCAUCAGUAUAAACUACAAAUCCCUCAUUACUACUUGGAAUAGUGAGAAUAGGGGCACUGUUCAAACCAAAAGGUAUUACUAAAAAUUCAUAGUGAUCAUAUCAAAUUCUAAAAGCUGGUUGUGGGAUAUCCUCCUUCUUGAUCUUUAAUUGAUAAUAACCUGACUUCAUAUCAAUAUUGGAGAAUACUUGUGCACCUUGUAAUUAAUCCAACAAACCAUUAAUUCUAGGUAGGGGAUACUUCUCCUUCUUUUUUUUUUGGGUCACCUGAUUCAACUAUCUGUAAUCAAUACUUGCAUAAUAGGAAGAUAGUCAAUUCAUGCUAAGUAUAAUAUCAAAACCCCAUAUCUCUAGGAGAAUCAAGUCAGGAAGGAGUUCGUGUUCUCCGAUAGAAAUCAAACAAGAUGGAUAAACUAAGUUUGUAGUCAAAAAAUUUCCAACAACAGUAGUUACAUAUAAUAUAUAAUUUAUUGCUCUAGGUUAAAUGCCCAAGUAAUAAGCAAAAUAUUAUGAAACAAAAGGUAAGUUGGAACUAGGAACAAACAAAACUUUUUAUAUUUUAUCAGAAAUAUUAAUAGUACCUUCGACCACAGAUUUAGAAGCUUUAGAAUCUUAUUCAAUGAUAGCAUAUACCUUAGCAUAGGCUGAUGGUCUAGGAGGCAAUGACUUUUUCUUCUUCUUUUGAGUCUCAAAUCUAGAUACAUUUACCCUCUUGUUUCUUAUUUCAGAUUCAUUCCCUCUCUAACUUUUAUUGAUAAACUUGUCCUUAUAUUUCUUACCCCUAAUUUUCUGAAUUUCCUCUAAGUCUCUUUCAAUUAUCAAAGCCCUUUCUACCACAUCAGCAUAUGCUUGGAAUUUUAAGGCUGAUAUCCAACUUCUUAUUGUUGGCCUUAGGCCCCUUUCAAAUUUUUUUGCUUUCCUACUUUCAUCAUCGGUUAUAUGAGGGGUAAAUCUAGAGAGUUCAGUGAAUUUAGAUUUAUAUUUUGCUACUAUCAAGUUUCUCCGGAUAAGAUUUAAGAACUCCAAUUCUUUCUACUCUCUAAUGCAAUCUGGGAAAUAUUUAUCAUUGAACUUUUCUACGAAUACCUUCUAUGUGAUUGGCUCAUGUUUGACUUUAGAAAUCCUUUUUAUCGUUCUCUACCAGUGCUCAGUCUCUCCUUCUAACAUAAAGGCAACAAGAGAAACCUUCUGAUCACUAGAGUAAUUUAAGAUGUUAAAUAUUUUCUCUAUCUGCAUCAUCCAUCGUUUUGCUAACAUUAGAUCAGGCUCAUUACUAAAACUGAGAGGACUAAGCUCCUUAACAUAUCUCAUUCCUAGUCCAUUCUAAUUUGAUAUCCCCGACCCACACUUUCAUCUCACUCAAUUACUCAAAAAAAAAAUGAAGCAAAAAGACCAAAUGUCCUCUGACAUCAUAGAUUCCUAAAAGACAUCAAAGCAAUUUAUCACCGAUCACUAUAGUUUACUAUACCUUAAUAUAUUUUGCACAUCAAACAUAUUAAAUAUCUCAGUGAUCCUCAAAUCAUGCUCUGAAACCACAUCUAUCAUGCCCCCCCGAAUUAUAACAUUCAGGAGGUGUGAACCUAUCUUAAAAUCGAUAAAAUUAUAAUUAAACAAUAAUCCAGGAUCUAAACAUACAUUUGAGGCCACUAAAAGAACAUUCAAGUCAAAAUUCCUUCCAUAAUCUAUAAUUCAUAAAACCUGUAUAGUUUAAAAUCAUAUACCAUAUCACUCGAUGAAUCAUAAAAUCAGAAGCUAACUCACCAAGACAAUAACCACAUUAUAAAUCCACAAGUGUGGUAUUCUAUAGAAUGACAAAAACCAAUAUUUAUUACAUGUUCAUAUCAUUACACAAAUUAAACUUAACACUUCAAAAUCCUAAACAUGAGAGGUCCUUUAAACUUUUACAAAACUCAUAAGUUCAUAUUUACCAUCAACAUUUCAUUAGAGACUAAGUGUACUUAUACAACAAAAACAUAUCAUCCACUAAAGGUUUGCCCCAAAAUUUUUUAGCUUUCCACUACUUCAGCCCAAUUUAAACAUUUUAGCGAGUGACAAGCUAUUCUGAAAAAUUUAUACAGCAACGGAGUGAGCAUAUAAAGAUCAGCAAGCGACUAAAAUAUCCAUGGCAAAAAAGGACAAUUUCAAACAAAUAAGAUACCGAAUACAAGGUAGGGAUAUAAGAGUUUAUAGAUAGCUACUCAACGAAUGCAGAAUUACAAUAUAAUUUCAUUUGAAGCAUGUUUUGUUCAUAACAAGGGAGUAAAGAUUAAUUGGAGCAUAUCAAUCAUGUAAGGAGCAUUUUGGAUAUCAAUGGCAUAUAAAAAUAUUUCAGAAUAUAUCAAUGACAUAUAAAAAAUUUUAAAGCAUAUCAAUGGCAUAUAAAAUAUUUCGGAGUAUAUCAAUGGCAUAUGAAAUAUUUCAGAGCAUAUCAAUGACAGAUGAAAUAAUUCGGAGCAUAUCAAUGGCAUAUGAAAUGUUUCGGAGUAUAUCAAUGACGUAUGAAAUGUUUCGAAACAUAUCAAUGGUAGAUGAAAUAUUUCAAAGCAUAUUAAUGGCAUAUGAAUUGUUUCAGAAUAUAUUAGUGGUAUAUGAAACAUUUCGGAGCAUAUCAAUAAUGUAUGAAAUGUUUCGGAGCAUAUCAAUAGCAUAUGAAACAUUUCUGAGCAUAUAAAUAGCGGAUAAAAUAUUUCAGAGCAUAUCAAUAGCGUAUGAAAUGUUUCAGAACAUAUCAAUGGUAUAUGAAAUAUUUCUGAGCAUAUCAAUAACAAAGAUAAAACAGAAGCUCAAAUGUCGUAUUUGAUGUUGUAUAAAUUUCAUUUUUAUCCAAGCAUACAUAGAAGCAUAUAACCAAAUCUUUGGAUAUCAUAUCAAACACAUAGAAGGUAAAGUAGGAUCUCAAAUAUAAUCUUUAUAUUUGGGAGCGUCAUCCAUCCACGUUUGGAUGAAGCCAAAGGGGUCCGAUAGAGCAUCGCAGGCUCUAAGCAUACAUCAUUUAUCAUUUCUGGCAAAGGUCUAGAUAAUUCCUUUAUCAUUUCUGGCAAAGGUCUUUAUAAUCCCACAAACACUAGAGUAAAAUAGAGUAUUUUGAAUAAUAAAAUUGGCAUAUAUCGAAAACACAUGUGAAACAACGGAAUGCAUAUACCUAUACGAAACAUUGCAAUACACACAUAAACUUUACAUAAUAGAUUCGGGUAUGUAAAUAAUUGAAGGAAAGAGUAUACAGGAUUUUAAAGCAUUAAUGUAAAGCUCAACUGAAGCAAGGAUUUUAGCAUAAAUCAAUUUCCAAAGAGAUGAAACAAGAAUAGGUGAAAUCGACCAAAGCUCGAUUCUAAUAGAAUUUGAGAGACAUAUUAUAUGAAUUAUUUGGAUAACUAAUUAUACUCCAAUUUAUACAAAUUAGGUGUCAUUCAAAAUAUGUAUUAAUAUAGUUUUAGAUAAAUCAAGCUUUGUAUGAAUUGGAGUUUCGAACAAGGAGUUAUAAACAGUUUAGUAACCAAAGGUCAUAUAACAUUAUCUCUGUUUUGCAUAAUUCAUAGAGUUGAUUAGAAUAGAUAUUUCAAUAGGCAUUUAUACUCUAAAUAUUUCAAAUUAAAUAUACACAAACAGAGUUAUGAGUUCUAAUAUAUUAUGGUUUGCAUAAAUCAGAGGUUCCAAUAGAGAGUUAUAAGCAAGAGAGUACUGAAAGGUAAGAAUCAACGGUCUCUAUUUUAUAUAUUUCAUAGGGUCAGUUGAAAUAAUAUUUUGGGUAGGUAAUUGGACUCCAAAUUUAUCAAUCAUAGUAUUAAAAGAAAGAGCUAUGAGUCUAUUUUUGGAUAAAUUUUAUUUUUUCUAAAUUAAAAAUUGGUGCAGAAAGUUAUGACUAGAAUAAUGCAAAAAGGUCAAAUCUCAAAACAAUUCAGAUUCAUAGUUUUAUUCUCAAACGACAGAAAUAUCAUGUAUGAAGCCAAAAUCUUCCAAAUUUUUCAGAAUUAAGAUGAAAUCAGAAAUCAAAAUUACUAUAAGAAAUGGUUAAAAUACUUGCCUUAGAAAAAUAUGAUUCUUAAAUAUGGGGAAUUGAUGCAAAACCUCAAGCCAAAGCAAAGUUUCUUCUUCUUAAAUUCAAUUCCUCUUCCCUUCUCUUCUCAAGCCUAUACUAGUUGCAGCUCUUUUAUUAAGUUCUCUUUUAGUUUCUCCUCUAAUUGCAUUAGGUUUGACUAAUAUAAGGAUUACAAGGUAACAAGCAUGCAUGAAAAAAGCUUAUGUGUUAUCCAUAGAACAAACAUAGGUGGCACCAUCCUUAGGUUAGCUAGUGACACAUGUCCUCCAUUUUUUUUAACUUAAUUUGAAUCAUUCAUAAAUCAUAUCUAAUUUUUAAGAUUUAUAUUUAGCUCCCUACAUUACAAACAAACCUUUACAAAAUUUUUAAAAAUUAAGGAUGUUACAUGUGGAUAGUAAGAAGGGGCACCCCCUUCUUGAUUGCUUAGUACAUACUGCAAUGAGGAUUAUGUAUUGAUUUGAGGAGCAUAUUUGCAACCUCUAUUAUGUGGAUUAUCAUUAGAAAGGAGGACCGUUGACCUCUUUCAUCCUCUACUAUAGAUCUGUAGGAAUUCAAUGAUAUAUGAUCUCUCUAGGUAACACAAUCUCCCUUGUAUGCGUAGUUUUUAGUUUUGUGGGUUUUAGCGCGAUAAUCUUUGCACAACGAUGAAACCUUAUUUUUUGUGAGAAAUUCUAUGAUUUUAUUUUUUAUUCUUCUACUGCAUAUGUGAUGUCACUCCAAAUUUUCCAACAGUGGUAUCAAAGCCAAGUUGCUCGUGCAAAAGAUUGGUUUUUAAACUACGUGUAUUGUGUUCAAUCACAUGGAAUUGUUUUGUGCAAUUGCUACAAUUUUUUUUGUCGUAGUUUUCAAAUCUGUGUUGCACAUUUUUUUGCUAUUAAGAGAUAUUUUAGAUAGGACUUUUGAUGUCAAAUUUGUUGACACAAAAGGGAAAGAAAGGGUAGGAACUAUUGCUACCCCUUUGAAUUGGUCGGAGGCUACUUGUAGCCUUGGCUAAGAGCACAACUUGCUGCUCUCGGCCUGGCCAAAAGCAGCAGGGUCGAGAACAGCAAUGGUGCUCUCAACUUGCUGCAUGGUAGCCCUUGCAGCCAGGUUUCCUAGCUGCAUGGUGCACCCCUAGCGACCAAGGUUUCCUAGCCGCAGGGGUUGUCCUAACAACCAGGACUCCUGGCCGCAUGGGGCAAGCAGGCAGCCAGUUCUUGGCCACCCAAGGCUACCCUACGGUCAAUAUUUCUUGGCUGCAAAGGACUCCUUGGUGGUUAGGGUUUCCUAGCCACACAAAGCAACCAUAAGACCUAGGAUUCCUAGCCACAGGGGAGUCCCUAGUGGUUAAGAUUUCCUAGCCACAUAAAGGACUACCUAUCAUAUGGGGGCACCCUAUGGUAGGGUUCCCAAAAUACUAUAGAAUAAUUAAUUAAAUUAAUUAAUUAAUUAUUAUUAUCUAUUAGUCCUACAUGGUGAUGUGUGAUGUAGAUGGAUGAUCAUGCACUAUAUGAUGUAUGUACAUGUGAUGUAAUUAUUAUUAUUAUUUGGGCCUAAGAGCCUCCAAUUUUUUUUCUCGUUUACUGUUGGGCUUACAUGCUUGUGAUUAAGUUAUAAUUAUUGCUAGUCAUAGGUGUCCUACAAGUCAAUCACAUGAGUGAUGACACGUGUGACAUGACACACUUUUUUUGCUUAUUAUAUAUUGACAUUUUUGUUAGGAAUGAGUCGACAUUAAGAGGGAGGGGUGAAUUAGUGCAGCGGGAAAAUCAUGGAUUCAAAUCGUUUCGUUUUGAUUAAAACCAAUUCCAACGAAAACCAUUUCGUAAAGAUCUUAACUUGAAACACAUUCGUAAAUGUAUUGAAAGCAAUAAGCAAGUAAAGUGGUUUGCAGUUAAAGUAAAUUGCUCAAGACAAAACGCAAAGUAAAUUUUUAUAGUGGUUCGAUCGUCGUGACCUACAUCAACUCCACCGAUUCCUCUUCCGUCGAGGCCACUGACAUCCACUAUCGGUCUUCCUUCAAUAAGCGAAGACCAACCACCUUUUACAAUUCGAUUCUCCUUUUACUGGGUUUAGGAGAUAACCUUUACACCCCCACUAACUCCUCUCUCAAACUAUUCUAACACUUAGAACUUUGAGAGGAGUUUCACACAUAAUUGCAAUAGAGUUUUCUUCUUUUUUUUUUGCUCUCAAUUGUGUGUUUUUUAACCAAGGAUGAGAGAGGUAUUUAUAGGCUUUAAGUUGAUUCAAACUUGGAGCUUAAAAAAUCUCAUCCUGGGUCUCCUGGGUACGGGCAGUAUCACCGCCUGUGUUGGGCGGUACCACCACCAGUGUCAGUCUAACAUUAACACUGCACUGGGCGGUACCACCACCUGACACUGAGCGGUAUCACCGCCUGCAGCCUCUCGAAGACUAUGUUUGGGUGGUACCACCGCUUGACACAGUCUCAAAGACUGUGCCACGACGGUGUUACCUUUUGGGUCAUUGUUUGGACCUUUUCAUUAGGCCAAACAUAGUUCAUACAUGGGUCGAACUGGCUUCUAAUUGGGUUGGCCCAAUUCCAAUCCCAAUUAUGUGCUAACUACGAAUUAUAAGACAUUUACUAAGCUAAACAAGUUCGUAGGUCUAGUUUCUUCUAACAAUCUUCCGGCAAACUUCUGACGAACUCUCGACAAUAUUCCAGUGGACUCCCGGCAAGCUCCUGGACUUCAUGACGAUCUUCUUGGCAAGAUCCGAUGAGCUUCUUCGGCAAACUCCUAGACUUUUCAAUUGGUUCCGACAGAACUUCCGACGAACAUACGAACUUUCGACAAACUCUCGAACUUCUAACGAAAUCUCAUUCUUGACUUUGAGACUUCAUUUUACUUUAUGCCUUGCUAUCGUAGUUAAUCCUGCAUACGUAAAACAUACUUUGAUCUAGACAAUUAUUACUAAGCAUGAAUCAUGUUGUCCGGCAUGUCAUUGGUCCAUCGACGUUUCGUCCGAUUCUUCAGUGCAUCAUCCUCUCUUGCGGCCUAUUGCCCAAUUGGCCAAUUGACCUCUGCAACUCUGAUAUCCUUGGUGCAAUCUCCGCUCUUCUUGGCCCGAUGCUCGAACUCAUGACCCGAAGCCUUCUGUCGAUACGUCGACCGAUCCUUCGGCACGACGUACAAUCUUCUGACAUGUUUAUCUGGCCCAACAUGAUUCUUUCUGCUUUAAAUGUCUCUCCCUGAUCGAAGCAUCCUGCAUUACUCAAAACACAUAUCAAAUCAUAAACACUUAUUAAUUGGUUUCAUCAUCAAAAUCUGAGAUUCAACAAUCUCUCCCUUUUUUAUGAUGACAACCAAUUAUUGACGGAGUUUAAACAAACUCCUGGAAUUUAAACAAACUCCCCCUAUCAAUAUGCCAUAUGUGAGAUGAACUCUUGUAUUCAAAAAUCCAAGCAACAUGUUAUCAUAAAACUGAUGCAUAACAUUAUCAUACUUCUUCCGAUUGUCAUCAACAAAAAAGAGAAGUGCAACUAUCAAGUGUUUAAGAUAUAAUGUCAAGUUCAAAUCAUUGCAUAAAAAACAUAAUAUCAAGUUUUAUCAUCAUGUAAUUUAUAAGUUAGAAAAUCUAGCAAGUUUUUCAUCAUGCAAGCUAGUACAUUUUUCAUCAAUUUAUAAUAUGCAUAAUCACCAAAUCAUCAUUAUUUUUAAAGAUGUACAAGAUUGUAAAUUAUGCAAGUUUGCAUUUUUGCUUCUUAAGAUAGGCAAUCUAUCAAUUUUUUGGUGAUGUUCAAGAUAGCAAGCUCUUUCUUCUCCUUUGAGAAGUGUCAUUUUUUCUUUCUUUGCAAAGUGCAAGCUAGUAAAAUUUUACAUUAUUUUAUACAAGCUAGCAAUUUGACAAGUGUUACUUCUCUUUGAAGUACGAAGGCUAGCAAAUUUUUGAAAAAUAAUGCAAUAUAACAAGCUAGCAAGAUAUAAUGUUUUACAUGAAGCAAGCUACAUGAAGUACAUUUGCAUCUUCUCUUUAGAAGUGCUAGCAAACAAGCAAGUUUUUCUCCUUACAAUUUGUAAGCUAGCAAAUUUUACACAUAUGAAAAUUGGCAAGAUUUUUGCAUCUUUUUUAAAUGAGCAAGCUUUUUGCAUCUUUUUUAAAUGAGCAAGCUUUUUGCUUCUUCUUGAAGUAUGCAAGUUAGUUAUCUCCCCCUUUGUCAUUGUCAAAAAGAAGGGAAGAAUAUAAUUUUGUAUCUCUUUUUCCCUUUACAUUAAUUUCUAAACCAUGACAAAGGUAAAUAACAUAGAUGAAAAAUCAAGACAUGAAUGUCAAAAUAAUUUUUUAUCAUGAAUAUUUUAUCAUUGCAUGUAUCAUUAUCAUAAGUUGAAGUAUUACAUGCAUAAUAUAAAAUCAUCAUUCAUAAUUACAUCAAUGUUUCAAUCAUUAUUUCAAUAUGCUUGUGCAUCAUUAUAGUUUCAAUUUACAAUAUGUACAAUUUUAAAACUUUACAUAUCAUCCUUACUCUACGCGUGAUACUAAAAAUAAAUCAAUCAUAAUAUCAUACAUGAUACUCAUAAGCUAGCAAAUUUAUAUCAUUUUAGAGCAUUAAAAUAAUAUCAUGAGUAUUUCAUGCAUUCAUAUCAUCAAUGUUUCAAUCAUUAUUUCAAUCAUCAAAAAUGAAAGAUCAUGUCUAAAAUUCAAGAAAUCAAGAUCAUAAUCCGAAAAAUAUAUAAGAAGAAUUUAUGCAUUUGGGAGAUCUAACAUGUCUAAGUUUAUCAUUCAAGUUAGCAAACUUGGUUCUCUUGAGAUGUUAGCUAUUUUCUUUCCCUCUUUUGUCAUUAUAAACAAGAAAGAAUAAAGAAAGAACAUAAUGGUGUAAAAUAUUUCAAUCAUUUUAAGGCAUACAAGCCAUAAAUAUAAAGAGAUCAUGUCAUGAAAGAUAAGACAACUUAAAAACCAAAAGACAUGAUUCAUAUAGUAAAUCUCUUCUUUAAAUAAAAUAUCAAGUAAAAUUCAUAGGAGUACAAAGAAGAAAUAUUGAUUCAAAAAAUCUCAAGUAAUUCCAAUAAACCAAGAUCAUGAUUUUGAUAAAACUCAUUCAAAUUCAAAUCAUCAAAAUCUCAACAUUUCUUUCAAGAGAUUCAAAAUAGCAUAAAUAAUUUUAUUGGUCUCUUAGUGAAAAAUCGAUAAGAUAGAGAAAAAGAAAAAUUUCAAGAAAAAUGCUUUCCUCCUUUUGUUUCAUACAUUCAUGUUCUUUUCUUUCAAAUCCAUGCAUCAUUCAUUAACACUAAAAAAGAACUUUCAAAAGAUCGCAAAAAUUAUCAUGCAUAAGUUUGAAAUAUAAACUCGUUAAGCAUGCUUUUAAAUCACCAUUAUAUUUUCAUUAAGACUUCAAGCAUGAUUUUAUAAAGUGUUUUCAAUCAAAAGUAAUAUGAAAAUCAUUAAGAUACACAUUAUCAUUAAAACAUCUAGCAUGAUUUAAGUCUAACAUCUUGUUCCUUUAUCAUAACAUAUAUAAUUUUCAUGAUUAUUUUCAAAAUUACUAGAUAAGCAUGAUUCCUAAUUUUUUUUUAUAUUUUUAUUUAUUAAAUAUGUAAUUUUUAAGAAAAAUAAUUAUUCUAAACUAACUUAAGAACAACUCAUGAAAAGCAUUAUGUAAUUUUGAAAUAAAUUAAAGAGUUUUGUUUGAGUUGUUUACCUCAUUGUCGAAUGCCGUUAAGGCGUAGUUUGUCACCUCGCCUUUGUUGAUUUUUUCAUCGUCUUCGGAGUAGCUCGAUUCAUCGCAAAGCGCUUCCCUCUUUUUGCAUUCAUAGCAAGUAGUUGCGUUCUUUUUGUUCUUUAAUUUUUUUUUUAUGAACUUUUUAAAUUUCAUAGUGAUGAGUUCAAGUUCACCAUCACUUGAGCUUAUGCUCGAGUGGUCUUCAAUUAUUCUUAGUUUGAAAUCCUUCCUAUUCUUUGGAAGGUGAUUCUCAAGUUCUUCAUGUGCAUUGCACGUCAUUUUAUAGGUCAUUAGAGACCCGAUAAGUUCUUCGAUCAAAAAAGUAUUCAAAUUUUUUUAUUCUUGAAUAGCCAUUAUUUUUGAAUCCCAAUUUUUAGAAAGCGAUCAUAAAAUCUUGUUAACGAGUUCAAAAUUAGAAAAGUAUUUGACAAAAGCUUUUAAACCAUUUAUGACAUCCGUAAAACGGGUGUAUAUGUCAACAACGGUUUCGCUUGAUUUUAUAUGAAAACAUUCAAAAUCAUGCAUCAAAAAGUUGAUUUUCGAAUCUUUAACUUUGCUAGUGCCAUCAUGUAUGAUUUCAAGAGUAUGCCAAAUUUCGUGCGUAGUUUCGCAAAUAGAAAGACGAUUAAAUUUUUUUUUGUUUAAGGUGCAAAAUAAAGUAUUCAUAGCUUUCGCAUUUAAAGAAAAAGUUUUCUUCUCUGAAUCAUUCCAAUGGUUCAUUGGAAGAGAAGACCUUUGAAAUCUAUUUUCGAGAAUAUUCCAUAAAUUUAAAUCCAAUGAAAGCAAGAAAACUCUCAUUCGAGUUUUUCAAUAUGUGUAGUCUGCCCUAUUGAACAAGGGAGGACGAAUGAGAGAGUAACCCUCUUGAAAGCCGAAAUGAGACAUUUCUCUUAGGUGUUAAACCAAAUGAGAAAUACGAGGCUCUGAUAUCAACUGUUAGGAACGAGUCGGCACUAAGAGCAGGGGGUGAAUUAGUGCAGUGGUAAAAUCACGGAUUCAAAUCAUUUCAUUUCGAUUAAAACCAAUUCCGACGAAAACUGUUUCAUAAAGAUCUUAACUUAAAACACAUUCGUAAAUGUAUUGAAAGCAGUAAGCAAGUAUAAUGGUUUGCAGUUAAAGUAAAUUGCUCAAGACAAAACGUAAACCAGAUUUUUAUAGUAGUUUGAUCAUCGUGACCUACAUCCACUCUACCGAUUCCUCUUCCGUCGAGGCCACCGGCAUCCACUAUCGGUCUUCAUUCAAUAGGCGAAGACCAACCACAUUUUAUAACUUGAUUCUCUUUUUACCGGGUUUAGGAGAUAACCCUUACACCCCCACUCACUCCUCUCUUAAACUAUUCUAACACUUAGAACUUUGAGAGGAGUUUUACACAUAAUUGCAACAGAGUUUUCUUUUUUUUUUUGCUCUCAGUUGUGUGUUUUUUAACUAGGAAUGAAAGGGGUAUUUAUAGGCUUCAAGUUGAUUCAAACUUGGAGCCUAAAAAUAUCUUAUCCGGGUCUCCUGGGUACGGGUGGUACCACCGCUCAAUCUAGCGGUACCACCGCCUGACACUAGGUGGUACUAUCGCCCAGACUAGCGGUACCAUUGCUUGUAACCUCUCGGAGAUUGUGUCUGGGUGAUACCACCGUCUGACAUAGUCUCAGAGACUGUGCCACGACGGUGUUACCUCUUGGGUCACUGUUUGGGUCUUUUCAUUGGGCCUAAUACAAUUCAUACAUGGGCCUAACUAGCCCCUAAUUGGGUUGGCCCAAUUUCAAUCCCAAUUAUAUGCUAACUACGAAUUCUAAGAUAUUUACUAAGCUAAACAAGUUUGUAAGUCUAGUUUCUUCCGACGAGCUUCCAGUGAUCUUCUAGUGAACUUCCGACGAACUCUCGGCAAUGUUCCAGCGAACUCCUGGCAAGCUCCUGGACUUCACGACGAUCUUCUUGGUGAGUUCCGAUGAGCUUCUUUAGCAAGCUCCUGGACUUCUUGAUUGGUUCUGGCAGAACUUCCGAUGAACGUCCAGAUUUCUGACAAACUCUCGAACUCCCAACGAAAUCUCGUUCUCGACUUUGGAACUUCAUUUUGCUUUAUGUAUUACUCUCAUAGUUAAUCCUGCACACGUAAAACACACUUCGAUCUAGACAAUUAUUACUAAGCAUGAAUCAUGUUGUCUGGCAUGUCAUUGGUCCAUCGACGCUUCGUCUGAUUCUUCGGCGCAUCGUCCUCUCUUGCGGCUUAUUGCCCAAUUGGCUAGUUGACCUCUACUACUCUGAUAUCUGCUCUUCUUAGCCCGAUGCUUAAACUCAUGGCCCGAAGCUUUCUAUUGAUACGUCGACCGAUCCUUCGGUGUGACGUCCAAUCUUCUGACAUGUUUCUCCGGCUUAACAUGAUUCUUCCUGCUUUAUAUAUCUCUCCCUAAUCAAAGCAUCCUGCAUCACUCAAAACUCAUAUCAAAUCAUAAACACUUAUCAAUUGGUUUCAUCAUCAAAAUCUGAGAUUCAAUAAUUUUAUCACUUUAUAUUGUAUAUUGCAUGAAUAUAUUGUGAUGUCCAUGGAUCUGUGCAAUGGGAAUCGGAUCAUGAUGAGAUCACGAUAAUGAGACUGAUUCGCCUUUAAACACAGAUCCUAAAUAAUCUCGAUCUUAGGUUACUCGAGAGGAACAUCGAGAUAACCGGACAGACUUGUGUACUGUAUACCCAUACAUAUGAUGGAGACAACUAUGUUAGGAUCAAGAACGAUAUGGUGGUUGCCACCUGUUAUUCUCCCCUCCCAUUCUACUCAUCGGAUAGUAGGUGUGGAGAUUUCAACAGUGAUUCAAGGAGCGUCAUCGUAACCCUGUUGUGUGGAUCACCGCUAGAGAGGAUGCUUGGCCUCCUUCAUCCUCUCCUACAGAUCUACAAGGAUUAAGGGAUAUACAGCUACCUCCAUCAUAUGUAUGAGUAUAUAAUACACCAGUUUGUCCGGUUAUCUCGAUGUCCCUCUCGAGUAACCUAUGACCGAGAUUAUUUAGGAUCUGUGUUUAAAGGCAAAUCGGUCUCAUUAUUAUAAUCUCAUCAUGAUCCGAUUUCCAUUGCAUAAAUCCAUGGACAUUAUAAUAUAUUAAUGCAACAAAUAAUAUAAAGUGAUAAAAUAUCAAAUAAUAUAAUAAGCAAAAAGAAUACAUAUCAUGUCACACGUGCUAUCACUCAUAUGAUUGGCUUACAUGGCACAUAUGACCAGCACUACAUCCUACUCUCCUCUUCUCCUCCUUAACCUAUAGCCCUUAUUUGGGGUGUGUGGACAACAAGAAGGGCCACCUAUUCUUGAUUGUGUGGUGUGCGCAAAGAGGAGAUUUGGACAAUAAUUUGAGGAGCUCGUCUUCACAACCCUUGUCAUGUGGAUCAUCGCUAGGGAGGAGGAUGGUUGACCUCUUUUAUAAUCUAUUACAAAUUUGUAGGAAUUCAGGGAUAUACGAUCUCCCUAGGUAACACAAUAUAUCUUAUACAUGUAGUUUUUUUGUUUCGCGAGUUUUUAUGCACCAAUUUUUGCACGACGUUGAAACCUUAUUUUCUAUAAGAAAUUCUAAGAUUUUUUUUCUGUUUUUCCACUAUGCAUGUGAUAUCGCCCCAGAUUUUCCAACAGUAUGAAUAUAAACUGCAUAGGUUUUCUACAUGUGAAUAAUGUUUGAAUAUUUUUUAGUGUUCUCAAAUAUUAUUUUGGAUCUCGGGUUUAGAUUAUGGAUGGAUUAUAAUAUUAUUGAAUUAAGAUAGGUUUGCACCCAUUGAGUAUGUAAAUUUAAGGGUGUGACAGAGAUAGUAUUAGUGCAUGAUUUAAGAAUCACUAAGAUAUUAGAUAUGCUAGAUGUGCAACAAACAUUAAGGUUUAGUAACUUUUAUAGAGUGAUUAAUGAAUCAAGAAAGGCGAAGAGAUUUGAAAGGGGACUAAAGCAAGCAAUAAGAAGUUGGAUAUCAGCUUUAAAGCUCCGAGCAUUUGCUGAUGUGCUAGAAAGAGUUCUAAAAAUCGAAAAAGAUAUAAAGGAGAUGCUAUUUACAAGUGUAUUGUAAGCCAAUCACAUGAGUAAUGACAUAUGUGAUACAUUACACAAUCUUUUUAAUUAUUAUUAUUAUAAUAUUUUUCUCACUUUAUAUUAUAUGAUUAAUAUAUAUUAUAAUGUUUUUGGAUUAAUGCAAUGAGAAUUAGAACAUGAAGAGAUCAUGAUAGUUGUUAGGAUCAUAAAGGCACUAAGAGGGGGGGAGGGGGGUGGGUGAAUUAGUACUUUCAGAAUAAAGUUUUGAUUUGAAAAUUUUCAAUCAAAAAGUAUGUAUCAAAAAUGGGUUUAACUUAAAAUGUAAGUAAGGGUAGUAAGCAACUAAAUCAGUCGUAAUUGUAAGGAAAAACAUAAAGAGAAAUGCAAAUAAGAUUUAUAGUGAUUCGGUCGUCCUAACCUAUGUUCACUCCCGAUUCCUUUUCUCUCGAGGUUAUCGACUUUCACUACAGAUCUUUUUUUCAAUGGGCGAAGAUCAACCACCCUUGUUACAACGCUCUUUUUUUCAUAGGCUUAAGAUCACACAUCUCGUUUAUAAGAAAACCUUACACCUCAAUACUUUUUAAGAGAGUUUACACACUUCAAAUAUCAAGUUAUCAUGCUUUUACCAAGCAAGCAUGAGUAAGGUAUUUAUAGACCCAAGAUGACUUAAAAAAUUAGGCCAAAAAAUUAAUUCUCUGGGUUUUCGGGGUACUGGCAGUACUACCACCUACGUCGGGCGGUACUACUACAAUAUAGAGCGUGGGAAAAUGGGCUCUGACAGUUCCAUCACUUGCUUGGGUGAUACUACCGCUUGACAGCCUAAGAACCUAAGCUCUAGUGAUACCACCACCCGCUUGGGCAAUACUACCGCUUGAUAGCUUGGGAACCCGGGCUCUGGUAGUACCACCGCCCAACACAACCCUAGGUCAUUAAUUUUUUCAAUAAGUCCAAUUCAGCUCUGGUUCAGGCCCAAUAGACUUAUAAUCAAGUUGGCAUGGUUACGCCUCAAAACCAACUCAAUUAGACUAUAAACAAUUUUUAUCAAGACUUAACAACUCUAAUUCAAUUAUGAAGCCUUCAACAUGUUGUCUGGCUUCUCAUUUAUUUAUCCGACACUUCGUUAGAACCUUCGACACAUCAUCCUUUCUUUCGACGUAUUGUUCGAUCUAUUGGCAUGUUAACCUCCCACAACAUCUGAUCUUGAUACAAUGCCCGAUCCUUCUGGUUUGAUACAUGAACUCUAACUUCGGCCUAACGUCUGAUUCUCUUACUUUAAUCAAUUUAUCUUUUUAUGAUGAAAAUUAAUCCUACAUCACUUUUCUCAAACAUUGAUUAGACUAUAAAUCCAUCAAUUGAUUUUAUUAUUAAAAUUCAAAAUUCAACACAAUAAAAUCUCUCUUAUGUUUAAGUUAGCAAAUGAAUUAGAAGAGCUUAGUCUGAGUGUCAAAACUAUUAAAAAUUAAUUAUAAUUAUAGACUAGUAUACCUAGGAUUAUUAUAGUAGAUCAUGAGAAAUAAAUAUAUAGUAAAAAAUGAUAGAUAAUUGAGUAUCCUAAAUUCGAAAAUCAUAAGAUUAUGAUGACACUUGUCCAACCAUGUUACCUCCAUUGCGGACUAGUGGGCUCAUGAUGUGACCCAACCUAUCACUUGCAGGUGUCAUCUUCUCAUUUCACGUGGGAAUCCUUAAAAAUUAUUCAUUGCAAUGUCAAAAAUAUUUAGUAGGAACAAUGUUAACAGCAAGGGUGAUUUUGAUAGUUGUGUGUCCGUGAAAGGGCAACUACGUUAUUUCAGAAAAUUAUAAAGAUAAAUAUGAAAAUAAGGGAUAACUGUUUAUAUAUUAUACACUAUCGUCCCGCUGCCUCGUCGGCCGUCUCGAUUCCAAACCCUAGUCAACCCAAUACGCUUCGACGCCAUGGGCGUCUCCGAUCCCGGCUUCCUCAAGUCCGUCGAGCUCCGCCUCAUCCGCUGCACUCUAUACCGGGAACUCCCUUUCUUCCCUCCUGCUUCCCCGACUCCUCCUUCAUCCUCCCUUUCCUCACGUCAAUCAUUCCGCCCCCUCGUCGAGGCCGUCGUCGACUCUAUUGAGAGGGGGCGCUACAUGGAUGCACUCUCCUCCGACGCCUCCCGCCUUGUCUUCGGCUUCUCAGAGUCAUGGGAGUUUCAAGAUUCCGCCGCCUGCGCCGCCCGGUUCUACGAAGAGGUCGAGCUGAGCGUGGAGGCCUUCCUGCGGGACGUUGGCUCGGUGGCCUGGCUCCAAGUUCUUGAUGCAGAUUCUGACCCGGAUGUGGAUGUGGAGGGCAGGUGCGCCUUGCUGAUGUGCCUCGGCGUCGCGGCGCUUCUUGCCUUCACGCAGCAGAACGUGACUGGGUGAUCUCCCUUCGCUUUUUUAAUCCCAAGUUUUAUGCAUUCAAGAAGCUGAAACCAAGUCCUAAGACUUAUCCGUGGCUUCGUAAAUUUUGUAGGCCUAUUGGGAAUUUCUCUCCUUUCCCUCUGGCAUUUCCACUUCUGAAGGAGGGGAUUAGUGAUUGCGGAGGUGAGUGGGACGUGUGGGCACGUAAUCAAGUGGCUUCAGUUGGAUCAGAUGUGCAUGGGAAAUUUGCGCUCUUGCAGGUAUCGAACUUUGUGUUUUCUCAAUGUACUGACGAAGUAUAGCCUUUUCCCCGACAGAGUCUCUCCUCUUUUGUCCUCAUUUCAUUUAACGAAUCUCCAUCAGAGGGUCUCUGUUUUCUCAAGCUAUUGGCUUUGAUGAUUCUAUAAUAUGAAUACAACCUACUGAUUCUUAUGUGAUAUGAUGGAUUCAGAUCACCGGAUGCUAAAAUUGUCAUAAAUUUUUAGGAGAGGUUCUAAACACUUUAACAGAUUAACAAAUUUGUAUAUAUGAGAUUUAUCUGUAAUUUGUAGAUGUUAAAUCAAUUGCCCACAACAAAGUAAGGAUGCUUUUUUGUAUUAUUGUCUUCCUUGCAUGUCUUCAUUAUGUUUUGAUGGUAUAAAUUAUCUCUACUGCAAAAUUGUGUGACCUGGAUGGGUCAUUCACCCAAUAAAGUCUUGGAUCGCCGGUUGGACCAGUGGGUCAACUGGUUGUGAAAUGCCUCUUUGUUAUCAAAUGAAUUCAUAAAAUUUGAUGAUCAAAAGAUAAACGUCCAAAUUUCAGUGAGUUGGAUGGCAGGAAAAUAGGUCAACAGGUGACAAGAGAAGGAUAAGAAAAAUAACAACCGUGAAAGAGAAUUACUACAAAAAGGAAGGGACAAAAAGAAAAGGAAAGAGGCAAAUGAAGGAUGAAAGUGAUUGAAUAAGAGAGGGAGACAACAAAAGAGCGAGAAAGGACAUUAGUGAAAGAAUAUAGAGAGGCUAGGGGAGGCUGAUAAGAGGGGCUUUUUAGAGAGUCUUCAAAGUGCAUACUGAAGCAUCUGAUAUUUUCCUUUUCAAGAAAGACUACAAUAUUCUCAAAAUUUAAAUAAAAAUUAACUAUAUUCAAGGGUAUUUGGGUCAAUAUGGAAAAAUAAUUCAAUUAAUGAACCGGACUGGCCAAGGAUUAGGUUCCCAAUUUCUUCGGUUGGACUGCCAGUUUGUUAUGGGUUUAAUAACUACGCUGUGAUGUAUUAUGAACUAUGCUGGUAGAUCAUGAUAUAAUACACAUUUUUAUAUACUUCUUGUUGGUGUCAUGAAUGUGUGCAGCUCUAGGUUGCAGUGGUCAAGAGUAAAAAGUUCUGAAUCUUGAUUUAAACAUGCAAUAAUCAUGUGAGAGUUGCAGUCUUGAGCUUGGCCUAUUUAAUCUGUGUGCGCCUGCACAACCAUUAUCACUUGUAUACUAGACAUGCAGUUUCUGUUUAUUCAAUUAUGACACUGUUAUUUUAUGAUUUGACCCUCUAUAUUAUUGAUUCUGACACCAUGAAUGCCACCAGCCAAUUAAUCUCAUGAUGUAUCGGUUCCAUUGUGAACAAGCAAAAUAUGGCAAGGCUAAUAUGACAAAUCAAUCAUGGUAUGUUUUGUUCAACACAAUUGUUGAUUUGGUUAUGUCUGGUCACAUAUCCGAGAUCGAACUAUUUAAAUUGAUUUAUCAGGUCAAUUAUGCCUAGUUGUUUAUGAUCUGAUAUGACCAUAUUGAAACUUGCCUUCUUGUCUGAAGUUCAUGCCCCACUUCUUGGUUGCUUUUUUAUCGUUUCUUUUCUCUUGUUUCUAAUGCUAGAAUCUGGACAUCUUUAUUUGCUAGUUACUCAAUAUUUAUAGGUGAUGCAAGCAAACAAAUCAUUUGCUAGAUGCUUGUAACUUCCAUUUAGAAUUCUUUUAUAUUCAGAACUUGGUUGUGCCUGUUAGAUUCAAGUUUUUGUCGAAACCUUGCGAGCUUGGCCUUUCAAUCUUGACCUGUCAGCUUGAUGCAUUUUAUUAUUGGUUUUUAAGCCAAAAAAGAUAGAUCACUGUCGACUGACAGUGAUAUGUGCUUCCAGGGGCAAACAUUUCUUUUAGAUCUCAAAAUUAUAUUCAGUGCUGUUGAGGGCGAAUGCUUAGAACCAACUGCUGUCUGCAGCUGAUAGUUUAUCCUACAUGGGAACCUAGACUAAAGUUGGCCUAAAAUAUGAGAUCAGAGCCAUGGUAUGUACUUUUGAGCAAUGCUGGCUCUUGGAAAGGCAUAGCUUGUGCUUCUAUCAACCUGAAAUUAGUUGAUCUUGUCGGGCCUUUCUUUAGAUCAAGAAAAAGUUAUAUGACAGAAAUAUGAAAUUUCUUCUGAUGAAAAUAUACGUUCUUUGUGUAUAUUUUUAGGUGAUAAUUGGAACUCAAGUGUCUUCCUUAGUGAUUCUCUUUGUGUGUCUUUUUGCUUUAAGUAUGAUAAUGCUUCUAAGCAUUUUGUUAAUGUACAAACUGCAAAGUGUGUCUUUGCAUUUGAUAAAAUUUUUGUGUUAUAGCUUUGGUACAAAUUCUAAUGUUAUUUUCAUUGUUGUUGGAUGCGAUAUAGUCUGUUGUAGCAUGUUCAGAUUUAUUCAUACUAUAUAAAGCUUGUAACGAGCUUUUGUUGAACCUACUUAAUAAUGCAACAUACUUUUUGUUUCAGUACAUUGUAUACUCAAAGAUUUUGUUGAGCAAGAUAAAGGAGUUGGUCCUUGAGGUGGAAACAUCUUAUAUAAAUGGUUGCAGAAGUCUAUAUUGGUGGUUAUGUAGGCUUUUCUGUCUCCAACAAAGGAUUACAGAGGAGCUGUCAUCUUCUCUAUAUGAUCUACUGCAGUUAUUCAAGACUAGCACUUUACAUCAGUUUGGAGAUUUUGAACAUGUUGCUGGUUACUGGGGUACUAUGUUAAAUGAAGGGGAAGCUUUAGCAAUUGUGUCAUUGGCUCAUUUAGAGGCAGGAAUCAUUGAACAUAAAUAUGGCCAAAUUGAUUCCUUCAGGUAAGUACCUGGAUGCUAUUGGAUGUAUGUGGUACUUCUUUUAGAUAUAUACACAAGCAUCUUGUUGACCAUCAUACACUGCAUGAUCCUUGUACACUGGAUGUACCAUGAUAUGCCACAUAUUUUGCUGCUUUAUCAAUGAUUUAAGGAUAAAUUGUUUUGACUUGCUUUGAUUCAGGCAUAUGAGCAAUUGCAUCUUACAUUGUGCAGUAUUAUAUUUGAGAAUGGGUGUACAGACUUUUGUUGCAUAUUUCCUUUAGUUCCAUUUUCUUUGGAAUUACUUCUUUUUCAAGUGUGUUUCAGUUGUCAGAAAAUCCUAGAUACUGAGGUACUUAUUGGUUUUUGCUAUCUUGAGCAGAAAUAUUUAGUGUUUCGGUGAAGGUUUUUAAUCUUGGAUACUGUACCCAUAUCAGUCUUAGCCUGGACUGGUAUAGGCUGGAAUCAUACUGGCAUAUUGUGUGUCGGUGUAUGCUGGUACAUAUCAAUAUUUGAAAAAUCCUGAAAAAAGGAAAAAAUAAUGGAAAAAGUUACUGUAUCAGAUGGUACAAGCCUUGUAUCAAGUGGUACAAGUCUUAUACUUGGUGUACUGCCCCGUUUACCCUGGUCCACUUGUCCGUAGGCUGUGGACUGGUAGAUACCACCCAUCAUCAGAUGAAUUGUGUUUAGGGUUGAAAUGCCCCUUGAACCUGGAGCUAGCUGGUUCUCCCUAAAAUGUGUUGAGGCGCAACAAGUUGCUUGGCUAUUAAUUGCAAGAUUACAAAUAGCAAUCAAACUUAUACAUAUUGACCUACAUUUAUUUAUUUAAUCCAGGACCUAUAUUGAGACCAUGUAAUUCGGUGCCAGUUAGUACUUAUAGUUUCUUAAUUUUUACUGAUAUCUUGUGGUAGAGGUAGGUAUACAACCUGUCCACUUGUUUCGUACUGAUCUAAAAAGGUGUCAAAACCAGUAUUGUACCAGGAUUUAAACCUUGAGUGAAAUUUUUUUGGUUCAUGCAUUAUUUUGCUGCAUUAGAUCACUUAUAAAGAUUAUGGUAGCAGCACUAAUGUACACAUUAUGUGUGUACAUUGCCUCAAUAAGUACCUGCAGUGGGAAAGGAAAUUUCAUAUAAAUAAUCACAGAGAAAUUUAUGCCAAACUAGAAAGUUGGUGUAUUACCAUUAAACAUGGAAAAUUUAAAUCUCAAAAUUUUCAGGCAAUUUGCAUGUUAGUUAUUUUAUAUCAUGCAAUUUGAAGUGCACAGUGUUUAACGUGAGUUCUCGGAGGAGGUUCCAAUUACAAAUGUGACUCUAGAGCAUUGUUGCCAAAGACUUUCUCAGCCGUUAUCUUCUUCAUAUUGCACUUUCUUUAAUAGUGUUGCACAAGGAUUGAAAUAUCGUACCGUACCAGAGUUUCAACGUUUGCUCAGUACGGUACGAUACUGUAUACCGAGCGGUAUACCAUUCGAUAUAUAUAUAUAUAUAUAUAUAUAUUUCGAUGACGUCGUCGAAGCAACGUUGACUCUCUCUUCUCCCAGGCGAUGUCGCCUCGUUUAUAUAUAUAUAUAAAUUAAUAAAUAUAUAUAUAUAUAUAAAAGAUUAUAUAUAUAUAUAUAUAUAUAUAUAUAUAUAUAUAUAUUAUAAAAGGCGACGUCGCAUCGCCUCGGCGAUGUUGCCUUUUCCUUCUCCCAGGCGGGGCGAUGUCGUCGAGGUGAUGCGAUGUCGCCUCGCUUAUUUAUAUAUAUAUAUAUAUAUAUAUAUAUAUAUAUAUAUAUAUAUAUAUAUAUAUAUAUAUAAUAUNNNNNNNNNNNNNNNNNNNNNNNNNNNNNNNNNNNNNNNNNNNNNNNNNNNNNNNNNNNNNNNNNNNNNNNNNNNNNNNNNNNNNNNNNNNNNNNNNNNNNNNNNNNNNNNNNNNNNNNNNNNNNNNNNNNNNNNNNNNNNNNNNNNNNNNNNNNNNNNNNNNNNNNNNNNNNNNNNNNNNNNNNNNNNNNNNNNNNNNNNNNNNNNNNNNNNNNNNNNNNNNNNNNNNNNNNNNNNNNNNNNNNNNNNNNNNNNNNNNNNNNNNNNNNNNNNNNNNNNNNNNNNNNNNNNNNNNNNNNNNNNNNNNNNNNNNNNNNNNNNNNNNNNNNNNNNNNNNNNNNNNNNNNNNNNNNNNNNNNNNNNNNNNNNNNNNNNNNNNNNNNNNNNNNNNNNNNNNNNNNNNNNNNNNNNNNNNNNNNNNNNNNNNNNNNNNNNNNNNNNNNNNNNNNNNNNNNNNNNNNNNNNNNNNNNNNNNNNNNNNNNNNNNNNNNNNNNNNNNNNNNNNNNNNNNNNNNNNNNNNNNNNNNNNNNNNNNNNNNNNNNNNNNNNNNNNNNNNNNNNNNNNNNNNNNNNNNNNNNNNNNNNNNNNNNNNNNNNNNNNNNNNNNNNNNNNNNNNNNNNNNNNNNNNNNNNNNNNNNNNNNNNNNNNNNNNNNNNNNNNNNNNNNNNNNNNNNNNNNNNNNNNNNNNNNNNNNNNNNNNNNNNNNNNNNNNNNNNNNNNNNNNNNNNNNNNNNNNNNNNNNNNNNNNNNNNNNNNNNNNNNNNNNNNNNNNNNNNNNNNNNNNNNNNNNNNNNNNNNNNNNNNNNNNNNNNNNNNNNNNNNNNNNNNNNNNNNNNNNNNNNNNNNNNNNNNNNNNNNNNNNNNNNNNNNNNNNNNNNNNNNNNNNNNNNNNNNNNNNNNNNNNNNNNNNNNNNNNNNNNNNNNNNNNNNNNNNNNNNNNNNNNNNNNNNNNNNNNNNNNNNNNNNNNNNNNNNNNNNNNNNNNNNNNNNNNNNNNNNNNNNNNNNNNNNNNNNNNNNNNNNNNAUAUAUAUAUAUAUAUAUAUUCCGUUCCGUCCGGUAACGAGCAGUCCGUGUACCGGUCAGUGUACCGGUCAGCUGACGGACCAGUAUGUACCGCCUGUAUCGGGCGGUAUUAUUCGAAAUUGCAUACCUUGGUAUUGCAUCUAGUAAUCAUUUUUGAAUUCCAAUUUGGCUAACGCAAUUUCAUGAUGCUGUAUAACCCCUUCAUGGGACAAAUUAUCGAGGUUGAGCAUUAGAUGUAAUAAAGAGUUAUUGGAACCAUCACUGCUGGUUUAGCUCAUCAAGUUGGUUUGACUAUGGAACACCACUUUGAAAAAGUUUAUUGUAAGAUGCUGGAAGUAGUAUGCGAGGGUGAGCCUUGGCACCACAAUAAAGUUUCUUCGUUGCGUUCUAGGUAAUGAUCUUGCAGGUAUAAGUUUGUGUACAUCAAGCAUUCGUAAACCCUGUUUUGGUGAAAUCCUCAUGUAUUAGGCCACUCCUUUUUUUUGGCAAUCUGGCUGGUCAUCAAUCUGUCACGAAUAGGAAGUUGUCAGGCUUGAGGAGCAUUGAGGCCUCUUGGAGCUUGCUUGACCCUUAAUGUAUAUUUUAACGAAGGCACAUUUAUUGAGAGCUGGCAAUGUAUAUUUUAAUGAAGGCAUAUUUAUUGAGAGUCUUUACGAACAAAACCUUUCAAAUACAGUGAAAAAAAUUUAGUCGUUGGAGAGUGGUCUAGGACCUAAGGAUCAAAGAUGACCAACAUUUCAUGAAGAAAAAAAAAAAAGCUCAAGAGUGGUCAUUGUUUUUGUCAUCAUAUUUGCAUUUCAUUUUUGUUCCUCCAUAUUCCUCAUAUUUACUCUUCUUAAUUAAUUUUAAUUUUGCCCCAUGGCUAAAUGGAGCUCCGAUGAGUCAUUAUCAUCUGUCACCAUCUAACUUGAGCAUAUUGUACUAAUGCUAAACUUUCCAGCACCACUAGCAUUAAUAAUACUCCUUUGAGCUAUAUUUAUAGAGACAAGUCAUCCAUAGUGCAGUUGGAGUAAGAAAAAAGGAAGAAAAAUAUGAAAGGUAUAAAGAAAGAAAGAAAACAGUUCUCCACCAAGGUAGGGUGUGAAGACGAUAGAUAAAGAAAAUAUGAUAACGAGAUGUGUCUAGAAAGCACAGACAACAACAAGAAGAAAGCAAAGAAGAGCCAACAUGUAGUCAAAAUAAGAAAUAGAACAAAAAGUAGAGACAUUAGAAUAAACAAAAGAAAAGAGGCAAAGGAGGGGUGCAACAAAAUAGAGCGGAGUAUGAAAAGUAAAACUUGUUUGUCUUUUUUCUUUUUAAUAAUCUCUUCCCCUGAGAUGCAGAGUGAAAUUCAUGUAACAGGUCUCUUGUUCAAUUAUACACCCUGUUUCUGGCAAAUGAUUACAGAAGUUACCUUAACAAUAAAUGAACAGUGCUCAAGCCCUAUGAAGUGCUCAUUAAAGAUGAGGCAUAAAGAUUGUGUUUGGAUUGUGCCUCAGGGUUCAUAUAGCUCUUAUCUUCUCUAGUACUUGUUUUCAAGAUUAUAAAUAUUGGUCCAAUACCAGUUGCCAUAGCCUGUCAGAUCAAUACAGUACCAAGAUACCGAGCAGUGUACCAACUUAUACCCCCUUGAUAACACUAAUUAAAUAGUAAUAUAGACUGACCAGUAUUCCAAGCUGUACCAAGGUGCAUGGUUCACUAUGGGUCAUGGCUGAAUCAGUAAAUACUGGUUGGUACAUAUCUCUCCAACUGGUAUCUUAAGCCAUGUUUGGUUUCAUAUACAACUAAGUGAACAUGUGAUAGACUGGUAUCUUGUGGUAAUAUUUGUGAAAUUCAUUAAUCAAAGAAACCCUUAGCUUGCUUAAUUUUCAUCUUUUACCUAGAAUUCAGGAUUCUGUGACCUGCUUAAAACUAAUUCUGCAACAUGCUUGGUUCUUAAUUUGCAAUCACAUUUCUUGUAUUGCAAUUUUCUUGUAAUUUAUACAAUUAAUUUUUCAGGUCACAUCUGGAAUGUGCUGAAAAAUCAUGUGGACUGCACCUUAUUGUUACUGGUGCUCUUGGAUUCCGGACAAUACACCAGGUUCUUUUUUGCUGAAUGAUUUGUGGGAGCUAACCUUGUAGUGUAUCAACCUCUUUUGAAGAAACUUUGUUUUAUAUGAUUUAGGUAGAAGCAAAGCCUCAGUUGAUACUUGCUGCAAACAAUCAUGAACAAAGCCAUGUGCAUCUCUCUCAAGUCCAGAGUGAUAGUACUGUUUCUGAAAGUAAGGAUGCAGUUGAUCAUAAACUUGAUGAUUGUUCUGAUGUACUAAUGACACCAAAAUUAGUAAAAAAUGGCAAGAAUGAUGAUCUUAAUGUGGAUCUUACUCACAUCAACAAGGAUAUUAAUUUGACAUUCAUCCAGCAAGCUGUUAUACUUGCACAAUGCUUACAUCUCCAGAGGAGAAGUCGUGAUGAUGAAUUGUCUGGUAAGUUUUGCUUCAUAUGAUGAUGGCAUUUGCAUGAACUCUCUUGAUCUUUUUCUUAUAGUUCUCUUUUUUUUCAAAAUUAUGUGGAACACUAAAUUAGUGUCCUUUUUCAUUGUAUGUUUUAUGUGCUUAUAAAUAUUAAUUACUGUAUUGAUAUAAUUAUGUUUAGAUGCCUAGUUGUCAUGUUACUGCUAUGAAUAGUGGAACCUAUAGUUAAUAUCUCCAAGACUUUCUUCUUUUCCUAAUAAUGUUUAAAGCAAUUCAAAACUCCGAGCAACAUGUUGGUGAAAAUGCAUAUUGUAUUUGCAAGUGUUGUGUCCUCUCCUUGUCCUUCUCCAUUCUGUCUUCCUACCAAAUUUUGUUAGUUGUUUUUGGAUCUACAUCAUUGAAAGCAUUAACGAGGGUGAGAAUCGUCAUAGUUGUUCAAAUGAAUUUAAUUAAGGCGACUAACUUUAAAUGGCUAAGGACUUGUUGGUUGUUUUUCAUUUUAUUUUACAUCUGUUUUUUUGGGAUUGAUUAUGACAUUUAGGCUAUGGGCUAUAAGAUAGUAACAAUUUUCUAAGCUAUAGAUUGGACAACCAUAUCAGUAGUGCUGCUCUGUGCUGCAUGGGACAAUUGAUCAAUGACUGAGGUGCAGUACUUGCAUCUGAGGCAUUUAACUUAUUCAGUGCCAAUUAAUUCAAACAUUAAGCUAUUCUGACUCUUAUUUAUAUAUACAGUUGUUAUUUUUCUCUAUCUCUGUGUUUUUGUAUUUAAGUACAUGUGCUAAGUUACAUCCCAGUUACCUUUUUUGACCAUGGCUGGUGCUCUAGUGGAUUGCGGUUUGUAGUCACCGGUUGUUUACCUGUAGUAGCAGAUGCAACACUAAUAUAGAUAAUUAUGGUAGUGCUACUGCCCAUGCAGUCUGACAUUUCUCAACAUCCUUAUGAAAGUUUACUCUUUAUUUUGUUUCAUUAUUAUUGUAAAACUAUUAUAUAAUAGAUGGUUUGAUGCUGUUUUUUUUCUUUCUUUAUCUUGCCAACAUUUUUUACUUCUAUUUACAUGACGUUGUUUCCUUCUGGUCAUACUCUGUAGGGUGGGAAAUGGCCCCAUACAUUGAGGCUAUUCAUUCUCAACAUCAAACUUGCUACACUGUGAGUAUUACAAUUUUUUUAUAUCCUCUAGAUUUUACUUAUACUGAUUAUUAUCUGAAUUAAUAUAUAUUUUUCUAUCUCCAUUAUCCUUGGUUCUUCCAUGUUUUCUUGGCAGGCUUCAUGAAAAGAAACAUGAUUCUAUAACAUUUUUAUAACUUAAUGCACCUGACUUGACAUGUUCCCUUUUAGUUGGUAUAAACUGAGUCAAGUAACUUUGACAAGAUAUGGACCCUUACUGGCCUCUUAGACCAGUAAGCAUUGAAAAGAGACCUAUAUCAUUGGACAUGUGAUUUGCAACAUAUGGAUUGCUGUUAUCUAAAUACCAUGAGUUCUAUAAAUAAGUUGCCAGCUCUACUUCCAAUGCAUCAUUUGAUGAAUUUGGUGCUACAGUAUGAUCAGCAUUGUUUUGAGCAAUACCUACUUGAUGCUCUGGGAAUUUGCUGUUUAUUUUAUUAAAUCCCACUGUUCAGUGUUUAUGUAUGCAUUUAUUGAGUGUUCAUUUCUGUUGUAUUAUUCUCAAUACCUUCUCACAAGUUGUUCUGUUCAGUUGUGUGGCUAUAUCUGUUGUGUGUUUUGAGACUAUAUAGUGCGGCAGCUGUCUGUAUUAGAGACUCGGCUAAUAACCUUCUAUGUGGUUGCUUCAAAUGUCACUCAAAUUAUAUCAUCAAAGAUGUGGGUGAAGUAGUUUCAGUUUCAUGUAUUGCUAUCUCCUGCACUAUGCAAAUACCAUUAUCAUUGAGGAUAGGGCAAUAGGUCGCCUGUUUGAGCUAGAUUGCCCUGAUGCAGCAUAUUUAUUGUUGGUGCAAAAGUCGAGUUGGUUUGUGUGUAUGGUUAUGAUUUUGUGAUAUGUAUGUUCAAAGAAAAUGGAUAUGGAAGGGAUGGAAUGUCACUUCCCAUCCUAUCCUCAGAUAUUUGAUAUUAAUCUAUCAUGUGGCUGGUACAAUAAAUAGGACUUGCUUGGAAAAAAUUGUUUUUCAAUCAUAAAUUUUUAUUAUUUUCAUUAUAAUCCUUCAGAUAAUUAUUGUUGCCGAUGUAUUAUAACAUUGAAGCCAUAGUAAUUGAACAUAUUAGCAUAAAAGAAACAAUGAAGUUCUGUUGAACUCUUCUUUAGAGAAGACAUUACACUUGCUAUUUUAAUUGGAAAUUGCCAUCAUCUAAUGAAAAUAUCUUUCUAGAUUAGUAACUUCUGUGACAUUCUGCGAAUCCGAUGGGAGUCUAAACGAAGUCGAACAAAGCAGCGGGCUUUGCUUAUGAUGGAUAAGUUGGUAAGACAACUUCAUCUUUUUAGGGCUUAUGCCAUUUUUCGGACACAGUGCACAUGUUUUCCUUAGAUGUUGACAUGAGUUUAUCUCUUGGAUAUAUGCUAGGGUAUGUUUGUUUAUGAGGAAGCCUGCAUUCUUGCAGAUUUAUUUUAUGGUCUUUUGCUUAAAGCUUUGCUAUCUUUAUGUUCUCCAGACAUAUGACAUGUGCAAAUAAUUCAUUGCAAUAUUUCUCAUCCUUUUAAAAUUCUGCUGGUGAGCAUUUCUUAAUAAUUUUCUCUAUGGACUACCAUAUUUGUUGUGCUUCUUGCCUUCUGAUCUUUGUUCAUGUGCUAUGCAUUUGAAGUUUCUCAAGUAUGUUAAGCAUCAUUGUGCUAUGAUUCAGCUCGGAGUUCAAGCAAUGAAGAUUAAGGAUUAGAUCAUUUAAAAGAAACCAUUUUGUUUUGCUAUAAUCAUGAUUCAUUACUAGGUUCAUUAUAUUCUAGAUUUAAUGUUGUAGUUGAAUUUUUUGUUUGUGACACAUUAAAACUUGUGCAAGGGUAAGUUGGCACUUUUCAUCUGCUUGAUUUUAUUUUCUAAUGUUGUUUUGUAGCUUAUACCUCCUUGCAUACCAAGAGUUAGGUCACCAUUACUGUCACAAAGAAUUGACACUAGAUUCUCACCUCAUAUGGUUUCUUGUUCAAUUCUUUCGAAGUAAUUUCAUCCUUUCUUUGUUCGAGCAAUGAUUUCAAUAGGCGCUCGGGCGAGGCGAGGCGAGGCCCGAGCGCCUUGCUUCAUUUCCAGGCGGCACGCUUCAAAGAGGCGCUGCCUGGGCACUCGCCCGAGCCCAGGCGCCAGGCGCUCGGGGCGAGCGCCUGGGUUAAACCAGGCGACCGAACCAGCGUUUUAGGUUUGGUUCGGUCUUAGGUGCUUUAGUUGGUUCAAUCGAACCAACUUAAGCACAAAUAUUAGUGUGACUUCCCCAACCCUAGCCCUGCUCGCCAUUCAUGCUACUGCCGUCGCUACUUGCUGCCGCUGCUGCUGUCACCACUCGCUGUCCUCGCUGCCGCUGCUCGCUGCCGCUCCCACUAUUGCCGCUGCCGCUGCUCGCUGCUACCAUUGCCACUGUCUCCGCUCGCCGCUCUCGCUCCCGCUGCCGCUGCUCACUGCUACUGUUGCCACUAUCUUCGCUCGCUGCUUCCGCUCCUGGUCUUGCUGCUCGCUGCUGUCGGUGCCACUGUCGCCGCUUGCCGCUCUCGCUGUCGCUGCUCACUGCUGCCGGUGCCAUUGUUGUCGCUCACAGUUGCCGCUCCCGCUCUUCUCAGUCAACACCCUCGGUCUUCCGACUCUUCCCUUACACUAUUCUCGUCUUUCGAUAGUAUACUGUUAACAGUAUUACUGUAUACCGUUAACUGUAUACUAGUAAUAGUAUUUGUAUUUAUUAGAUUAAUUUAAUAGCAUAUUUUAUUUUAAAAUUUAAAUAAUUCUAUUUAUUAAUUAUAUUAUAUAUUUUUAUAUUUUAGUGUCUCACUUCGCUCGGGCGAGCGCCUAGCGCCUCGGGCGUUUUUGGACCUUGGCGCCUAGCGCUUUUUAAAUCAUUGUGUUCGAGAUUCUCCUUUCAUAUUCUACUCCAUACCAACGAGUAACUAUGAUCGAUUUAGUUAUGCUUUCAUGUUCUAAUUGAAUACUUUUCAUUUAUAAUCAAAGAUGAAAAUUAUUCUUUUUACCAAUCAAUAUGUGGACUAGAACAAGAGAGCUUUCUGAUCAAUCCCCUUGCCCUUUGGUUUUUUUUUUUGGAUAAUGAGAAAGAUUCUUUUCAAGCUUGAAUUUGUUCAUUUGGAACCUGGGCUAAUUGAAGCACUAGACGGUACAGGCACAAUCACCUGACCGUCAUUGUACUAUUGUUCUUUUUUGAAUUGUUAGUAUAAUCUAAUAAUAUGACCAGAUCCUAAUACUCUAGUACUCUCUUCUGCUUUUAUAUUAUGAUUCCAUAUAAAUUUUGAUUUGAUGGUUCACGAAUGAACCAUCUGAUACUAUUUUAUAUAAUGGAAGGAUAUCUUUCAGUCCUUCCGUAUGUCAGUGCACUUCAGCUGUAUUUCGUGCUGCUGCAGAUUCCUUCUAAAUACUUACAGCCAUCAUCCAUUUGUCCUAUCUAAUAAGUCCUUGAUCGGCCCAUAACAAAUCAGCUUAUAGUAUAACCAUUAACUUUAGCCAGAGUUAGCAAGACUGAGACCUUGGUCUGAAUUUCAGACAUAAAUGACUUAUCUGAAGUUGAACGUGAUAUUUCCCUCGGAUGAUUGGAAGCUGACCCAGUUUGAUCCAGUCAUGGGACCUCUGGUACUAGAUCAUCAAAUGUGAUGUAUGCCACCCACCACUUUGUAUAUUGAUUGAAACAUUCUUCAAAUGGAAAGGAUCCAUAUAGAAAGGUUGGAGGAGGAGGUCAAAAGGAGAGGAUCUUCUUUUAGCUCUUUUUCAUUUUAAAACAUAUUCAUUCGAUUGUUUAAUCUCCUAGACGCUCUUAACAACAAUGAAUUCGUAAAUAAGAAGCAUAAAAAAAUUAAUUUAUAAGAGAAUUAGUGGAAAUUAGAAAUCUAAAAGUCAUACCUAUGCCAUUAUUUUGGGCUUUUGGGCCUAAGAUUAUAAAUGGUGGUUCAUGGCUGAUCUACUGUAUGCACAUCAAACCAACAGAAGCUAACACAUUUCACCAAUUGUAGGGUAAUAAAGGAUGAAGCAAGUGAAACAAGUUCGUCAAUUGUCAAAAUAGAAAGAAUUAAUUGCACGAGUGUAUGUAGCAUAUAUUCUGAAACUGUCAUUGCAUCCUAGAUAGCAUCUGAAACUACUGUCAACAAUUACCAUUCUUAUUCACGCUGACGUUUCCUGCUCUCCUGUCUUGCUGGAUUACUAGGUUCAAGUUAUUUUUGAUGCUUCUCCUGUGACUGCCCAAAGGAUUCAGCUAUGUUAUGGGCUUUAUAUCCCAACUGUUUCAGCACUGAGGAAGUAUGUCUUAUUGGUCGUCUUGCAAUAUUUUAUAUCUCUCUUUGUUGAAACUAUCUUCAGUUAUCAGAACUUUCUUGUUUUCUAUUCUGUUAAAAAUAUGGACUAUCUAAUGACUAAUUUGUUCUAUGUCAAUUUUGCACUUCCAGAGAAUAUGGUGAGCUGUUGGUGAGUUGUGGUUUAGUUGGAGAGGCACUAAAAAUAUUUGAGGAUCUUGAAUUAUGGGAUAAUCUAAUUUACUGCUAUCAGUAUGUAAUUGUUUUCAUUUAUAUUGUCAUUUUUUUUGCAUUUGUAUAUGUCAUAGGUCUAAUCAAGUUGUAAAUAUACUCACUCAUUUUGACAGAUUACUAGGGAAAAAAGCAGCAGCCGUUGAUCUUAUCAAGUCACGCCUACAUGACAUGCCUAGUGAUCCAAGAUUAUGGUGAGUUGAAAAUAUGUUUUUUUGGCUGGUAACAUGUUAUUUGAAAGAGUGAAAGAUUGUGUAUUUGUUGAUUGAAUAUAAUUUGAGUAUUCCCCUCUCACUACAGCAGAGGUGUAUAUGCUCUUUGGUCAUUAGCUUAUAAAAAACGUCUUGUUACAGAGUUAAGGAACUUAUUAUAUUAAGAAUUGUUCUUAUUGGUCUUCAUAAAGAAUAAUUUGCUCUUGAUAGUAUCUUCAAUUAAUGGCCAAAUAAUUGAAUAAUUCUUACAAAAUCAGGAGGAUUUUGAUUAGGGAUUUUCCCAACCAUAAAACUGAUAAGACCCUAGGGUUUUAUCAUAAAAGAAAGGGGAGAAAAGGGGAUGAUCACUUCGAGGGGAUCGGCCUCCUUGAUCAUUUCGAGGGGAUCUGCCUCCUAGGGUUUGUCAGAAGACUGAAAUAAUAUUUUAUUGAUUGCCGAAAAGAAACAGAUACAUCCCUAUUUAUAGAGUUCUAUCCAAAGUUCAUCAGGACUUGGAUUCUUAAUAAAUAAAUAAAUAUCAAAUAAACCCCUAUCCGAUGAACUAGACCAACUCAAUAAAACAUUAUUCAAAGCUUAGAAAAUAAAAGGAUCAUAACAAUUCCUCCCUCUUCAAAUUAGCCUUGUCCUCAAGGCUGAGUAGUAUCAAACUCGAGGAGUUUCGCUUUCAGCACUUCAGUCACAGGAUAUCUGUGGCGCAUCACAAGUCAUUGAUUAAGUAAGUAUGGUCUCCACUUCUUGAUAAUUUAAGCAAUAGGUCGGCCUUUCGGUGUAGUAGUCGUUGUAGUCUUUCGAAGAACCUUCUCCAUCUGAUGGCUAGUGGCUGUUGUGACCUUACUUCCACAUCUUCCCUUUAGGAUCACCUGCUUUCCAUUAAUAAGAAACUUAAUGAUUAGUUUAGAAAAAAUUUAAGAAACAUCACCCAUGGUUGAUAAUCAUUCAAUUCCAAGCACCACUUUGAAGUCUUUUAAGGGUAGCAAAAAGAAGUCAACGAGCUAUUUCCACCUUUGAUUCUUCUGGAGUUCUGUGAAAAUGGAAAAAAAUUUCUGCUCUAGAGAUCCAACUGGUCGGAUCUCCAUCUUCCUGUUUUGGGAAUUCCACCUUCAUGCGUGGGUUGCUUUUGUCCUGUUCUUGGUUCCUUUUUUCUGUCUUCAGAUCGGUUCAAUGUAAGACUUGAACUUUCAUCUUGUUGAAACUUGCUAAAGCUCUCUAAUAGACUCUUUUUAAAAUCGUUAAGGGUUUCUUGUAGCCGAUUCUCAAUUCUAGUUUCCAAGGCUUCUAAUUGGGCUUUCACUGUGUUGUCGAUAGCCAUUGCGUAAGACUGCAGAUCUGUAAUCUCCAACUGCUGUUUCUGGUGUUGGGUCAAGGGCAUCAGUACUGCACUAUUCGACGCGACUACUAUGAAGUUUGGCUCGGGGCAGCGUUGAGGGCGUAAGGGAACGCGAAGCUAUCGAGGAAGCGGACACCGAGGGCAGCGUAAAGGCUUGCUGUGGUCGCUGCGAGGAGGAAAGGUUGCUGCCCUGUUUUUGUCGCUGCGUGGGGUGAGGCUGCGGGGGUUGGAAGGUGGCGGCGUCGGCGUGGGGAGCGACUGAGGGCGGCUGCGCGUGUGGCUGCGGUUGUUGUGACCCAAGGGGAGCAAUUGCCGAGCGGCCGGGGUUGAGGCUGCGGGGGCUGGAAGGCGACGGCGUCGGCAUGGGAGCGAUUGAGGGCGGUUGCGUGUGUGGUUGCGACCCAAGGGGAGCGAUCACCGAGUGGUCAGGGUUGAGGCUGCGGGGGUUGGAAGGUGAUUGCGUUAGCAUGGGGAGCGACUGAGGGGGUUGCAGAUGCCGAUCGCGCGCGGUCGCUGCGCACACGGUCGCUGCGUGCGUAGCGAUCGCAGAACGAGGGUGGUGGUCGUUGGCCGGAAAGCAACGGUGGCGGUGGUUGCUGGCCGAGAAGCAAUAGCAAAAGGGGAGGAAACAAUGGUGAUCGACGGCUGCGGCAGAUGCAUAGUUGCCCUAUUUCGAUCGUCGCAAGGAGGGGAGGUUGCUGUCGAGGUCGGGAGGCAAUAGUGGUGGUGCGGUUAGGAAGCAGCGGCGGUGGUGGUCGCUGCCCUGGAAGCAGUAGCAAAAGGGGGGGAAACAACGGUGACCGACGGUUGUGGUAGAAGAUGCAGAGUUGCCCUGUUUCGGUCGUCACGAGGAGGGGAGGUUGCUGCCGAGGUCAAGAGGCAGCAGUGGUGGUGCAGCUAGGAAGUAGCAGUAGCAAAAGGGGAGGAAACAACGGUGAUCGGCGGCUAUGACAGAAGAUGCAGAGUUGCCCUAUUUUGGUCGUCGUAAGGAGGGGAGGUUGCUGUCGAGGUUGAGAGGCAAUAGUGGUGGCACGGCUGGGAAGCAACGUCACCGAGGAUUGGGAGCAACCAAGGAUCGUUGAGGCUAGGAGUGAUGAGGGGGGUGGUCCGCUAGUCGGGAACAGUGGCGACUGCCCUUUCUUGCUUGAGUAGGAUGGGGUGUGGCUGCGUACGCGGCUGGUGGGUGGCUGUGGCGCAACGAGGGAUGUGGUCGUUGGCUUGGAAGCAGCGGCGGUGGUGGUCGCUAGUCGGGAAUCAGUAGCCCUUGUGAGGAGGAUGGUCGUGGUUGUCGUUUUUUUUUUAAGAUGAUGAUAAUUGCGGCGAAGUGUUGUGAUAAAUUGCAGAGAGAACGCUGAGGAUCGCUUCUUUGAUACCAAAUGAUAGUUUUAUCAUAGAAGAAGGGGGAGAAAAGAGGAUGAUCACUUCGAGGGGAUUGACCUCCCAGGGUUUGUCAGAAGACUAGAAUAAUAUUUCAUUGAUUGCCGAAAAGAAACAGAUACAUCUCUAUUUAUAGAGUUCCACCCAGAGUUCACCAGGACUUGGACUCUUAAUAAAUAAAUAAAUAUCAAAUAAACCCCUAUCCGACUCUUACUGAACUAGACCAACUAAAUAAAACAUUAUUCACAACUCAGAAAAUAAAGGGAUCCUCACACAAACAUCAUCUUGAUCUGUUGUGAACUGUCAUCAUGCAGUUGACCACUGAAAUAGGCUUUUGCACAUGUUGGAUUAGGACUGCUCAUGUUUGAUCCUAUUCCAACCGCAGAAUUGUGGUGAUCUCGUAUUCUUGGUGACAUGUAUGACAUCCAUGAUGUAUAAACCUUUGGCUGUAUAAAAGGGAUUACACGAAAGUAUUGCACACAUAGUUAUGUUUUCCUAUAUUUUGUUACUGUUUGAGAAGUACAUGCAUUAAGACAAAUGUGCAUAGGGAUGGGUGUCAUUUGCCAUGCAGAAUGUCAGCUUCAGGUUGCUUUGAUAUGUGCCAUGAGCCAUGCCACCCAUGCCAAUGCAUGUGAUUGGUUUUAUGUUUUGAGUGCAUCAAUCAUCAUGCAGCAAACUCCAACACAUGCAUUGUGUAAACCAUACCAGCUUGUUAUGGGAUGUUGUAUGGUACACCUUCUGCAGGUGUAUUUAUAUCUUAGUCAUGAUGCAUGUGGAUGCCUGUAUGCCUGUGACAUACAUGCAUAAUAGUUUGUGUUUUUUAAUGUACAAUGGUUGCUGUGAUGACAGUUUUCAUUUCAUCGAGUUUAUUAAUAGAGCUUCAUCUUACUGAGCUUCUCAUUCGAGCUUUAUUUUAUCUGGAAUUGGGUUCAUUUUCAUUUGAAAAUUGGAUCAUAUGAACCUAUUUAUGAUUUAAGCUUGUUAUAUCUGUAACUUGAAGAAUCAAAGCGGUUCCUUUCAUAUGUUUUUCUAAAAUCUAGAGAGCAAAGCACUCUUUUUUAUUGGUUUUGAUUCUGUUAUUAAAAUUUGAUUGAGAUCUUGAUUUGUUUACUCCAUCAUGUUCACUUGGUCUAUCAUGAUGUUAUCUUGUUUAAAGUCAUUGUCUAUUCCCAUUCGUAUCAUUGUCUUUUUUUAUUAUGAGGCUUAUUAACCUUUCCCAUCUUGUUAACUGGGAAAAAGUGCAGGGUUUCCCUUUUGGCUUAACCCUCAUGGUUUGUGCAUUUUUUUCCUUUUGGGAUAGAUGGGCAUUCUCAUCUUUGUAGACAAUUAUGCUAUGCAUGAUCAUGUCCUAUUCGCAUAACUUAAAAGGAUGAUAGGAUCAGAGGUUUUGGAAAUAGACUUGGUAUUAAGAGGAAAAUGAGGGGCAAAACAGAUGAGGAUACUAUACAACAUGUCGAUUUAUAGAAAUUUCAAUUUAAACAAUGAAAAUAACAAGUAUUGCAAAUUUAAAUGUUUGUCAGUUCUGAGGGCGAGGAUUGGUCUUCUAUCUAGUUUAACUUGGUAGAGAAGUUGAUCCAAAGUCUUCAAAAAAGCAAAGUGUCUCCAAGAAUGUUAAGAUUAUCAAAAUUUGGGUUUGGAAAGUUUGGCAAUGGUAGGAAGUUGAUAGGCUAUAUGGGAAAAGGGUGAUAAAGGGAUAAAUUAAUCUUGGUUCUCCGAAUUCACAUCAGGGGAAGAUUGUGGUCUCAUACGACUCAGACAACUUGUGAAAAAAACACUUCCAUUCAUUCACGAAUUUAUCAUUCUAUUGAAAUCCCGUUGUCUUUUUCUAUAGGUCCCAAGUAUAAGAAAGAAAGAAAAAACACAAAAAUAAGAAAAUAUUGCAAUUACAUCAAAUCAAAUAAUUAUCUGCUUUUUUCCUUUUUCAAAGAAAAUAAAUAAUCUUCCUUUUAAAUGAUUUAUCUACUUGAUAGAUUUGUAUCUUUAUGGAAUGAUGAAUCUUCCUUGUAGAGUUGAAAUUUUAAUCAAGAUAUGUGAUAUUCAAACAAAAUUAAAUUUUGAUUCCUUCCUUUUCUUUGCAUUUUCUUUCUUUUUCUUUUUAUUAACAUAGGAAAUUAACUACAAAUAUUGGACAUGUUGCCAUGUGACAACUGUUUUGAAAAAGAUCUUUCUAGCAUACUAAAUUUAUUCGAAAGACAAAAAUAAUUAGACUAAGACUAAAAACAUGUUAGUCGAACAACCUGAUCAUCACCAAUCUAAAGGAACUGAGGCUGAUCCUUGCUCUAGUAUAGAUCGAAAAGUAUCUCGAUUUCCAUUACUAUGGAUUUCUUGCUGCUUGGAAUGUUGAUUCAUCUUGGUUUUGCAUGUUAAAAUCAUUAUGUUUACACUGUAUAAAGGUGUUCACUUGGUGAUGCAACAACCACUGAUGCUUAUUAUGAGAAGGCAUUGGAGGUUUCAAAUAAUAGAUCAGCCCGGGCUAAGGUAAUGACAUUGUUUGCAGAAUAUAGCUGUGUGUUCUAUUUGAUUAGACCUAAUAUUGUAAGAUUGUUGAUUGUUCUCUUUGGACAGCGAUCAUUGGCUCGAAAUGCAUACAACAGGAGUGACUAUGAGACGUCAAAAACUCUUUGGUAAAUGGCGAGGGUUGGAUGAGCUUAUGAUUGUGGUCUCUUAAUGACCCAUGUUUAAUCUCCAUACUUGAUUUUGAUUUGGAAUUGAUUUGUACUCAAUGUACUGCAGGGAAUCUGCCUUGGCUCUUAAUUCACUGUAUCCUGAUGGUUGGUUUGCGCUUGGUGCAGCUGCAUUAAAGGUUUGCUUUCAUAGCUAAAUGUUUUAUAGUAGUAUCUGUCCAAAUACGUUGCAUGGAGACUUGGAGUUCUUCAAAUUCACAUUAAAUGCUGGCAUUUAAAUUUUAAAAUGUGAAAUUGUAUUUAAUUUAAGUUUUUAACAAUCUUAGCUUGUGUUUGUGAUCAAAUAUCCUUCUCAUCCUUAAAGGAAGUUCAAGCUGUAAAGUUGAUAGUUAUUCAUUCUCCUGAAAUAAGUUAAUUUGAUAACACCACCUUCAUUGCCAAAACCACAUAUUUGAUGUCUAUUAUAUGUUUGUAUAUGCAGGCCCGAGAUACUGAUAAAGCAUUAGAUGCAUUUACACGUGCUGUGCAGAUAGAUCCGGAUAAUGGAGAGGCUUGGAAUAACGUUGCUUGUUUGUACGAUUUCAUUGCCUUUAUUGUCAUCUUCAUACUGUGCUUAUUGAUUAGUAUCAUUGCCUUUAUUGGCAUCAUCAUACUGUGCUUAUUGAUUAGUAUCAUUCUUUCAGCUUAUUGGGAAAACUGGUUAUGCUUACAUUUCUCUGCUCCUCUAUGUUUAACUAGUUUCAAGAAGGGUUUUGUAUUAAUGCUUGAUUAGUUUCUUUUCUGCUGGUUUUUAUCAUGUAUUGCUACAGCAUUGUUUUUUGUUUAAGUUUGUUGUGCUGUUUCUGGCUUAUAUACACAAUGUCUAAAGCCAUGCUAUCUAUUUGUAUCAUGUUAAAAAAAUAUUCUUGCAAAUUGCUUUCAAGCUUAUUAUAACUUGGUUGGUAAAUACUUUUGUGUUGCCUUUGUGUCCUCAAAUGAGCUUUUACACUAAAUUGAACUGUUCAGGCAUAUGAUCAAGAAGAAAAGCAAGGCUGCAUUUAUUGCUUUCAAAGAAGCCUUAAAAUUCAGGUUAUUAUAUUUUUUCCUCGUUCUGAUUGUGAGGCCUGAUAAAUACAAAAUUUCAACCAACUAAUAUAAAAUAUUUAACAGGAGGAACAGUUGGCAACUAUGGGAGAACUUCAGCCAUGUUGCUCUUGAUGUAGGAAACAUUCGCCAGGUGAAUUGUUUUUUUUUUAAAUGUCAUUUGUCUCUUUCAUAAAAUUAUUCUAAAUAUAAGAUGUAGUUUAUAUUGGUUAUCUUCAUGUAAUGUCUACUUUCUUUGCUAUGCUCCCAUGUUCAAGAGAAUAAUUUGAGGGUUUACAAAAUCAAUAUUGGGAAGCUUGGGACUUCUAAAUAUCUUGAAAGUAUGGCUUGGCUGGUUUAACCAAGCUACUUGGGCAUGUUAAAGCAUUGUAAAAUGCCAAGAAAGGUACUUAUAUGCUAUAACAAAAUUAAAAAUAUUUGUUAGCGAUGGUGAUUCAUCCAUAUUACUGAUAAUAACAUUAAGCAUGUAGUAUCAAUCAUGAUAGUCAAUGAAGGGAGAAGCUUUUCAUAUUGUAUCUAGCAACACAUAAGCAGCAAAUGAACAUAAUGUACCAACUCAACAUACAAGAAGUUAAUGAUUGAAACUUUAGAAGUACAGCCACAGAAGUACUUUAGCUGUACAACAUUCAAAAACAAUAAGUUAUGCAAGUUUGGAGUCUGAACCUGAUAAUUCUCGAUGCAAAAGAAAAGUGGAAGACAAAAAUGGGCUGCUUAAUAGUCCCGCUAUCACCAAUCUUCAGAAUGGUGUUAUCUUCAUCCAGAGUUACUCCUUGUUGCAGUUACAAUCAUCUCAUGUCUUGAUCAUAUCAAGCUUGUCAAGAUCAAGUUUGUCAAAUAGUUGUGGUAGAGAGUGAUAAAUUUUGUCUUUGGCUAAAGUUCUGCAUGAUAAAGUUAAGAUGAAAGGCUUAUUAUAUUUUUCUUAUCUCUUUGUAACACUAAAUCUUUAACCUCUUGAAUCAAAGGUGUUCUCCAGUAAUACAUUUUGAAAUGACACAAUGUCCUGAUGUGCUCUAAGCCUUGUGCAAUAAAUAACACCCCAAACCAUUGAGCUCUUUUGUGCUAACCUAGUGUGUCAAUCUUGUAUAAAUUUAAUCAAACAUGCUCUUAGCUAUUAUCCUAUGUUAAAUACUAGUUGGAAGUCAAGCACACACAUAUAAACAUUUAAUGAGGAAAUUAAACUAUUUAUUUGGUAAUGCCACUAAAUUGCCUUAACCACCAAAGUUUUUGUAAAAUGUGAUUAUGUAGAAUAUAUUAACCUUACACUCUUUAAAAAUUUGUAGUUACAUAGAACAUAAAAGCCUACAAUCUUUGGAAUGAUUCUAAUCUCUUACUUUAUUGCAGUCACUAGAAGCCACAAAAAUGGUACUAGAUCUGUCGUCAAAUAAGCGAGUGGAUGUUGAAUUGCUGGAUAAGAUAUUGAGAAAGUUUGAAGAUCAUGAAAAGAACGCUAACUCUGAUCUCUCUUCAAGUGAUAUUUUUGAUGCUGAAUAUUCUUUAGUUGAGCCUUAUGACACACAAGCCAUCCCUGCAGAACCACGGGAAACUGAGCUCUUGUUGGACAUGCUUGGAAAUAUUAUGCAGCAGGUCUCCAAAAUCUAGUUUGCUUGUUCCUUUGCUUUGAAUUGUUCUUGUGUUUGUGCUGUUAAAAGUAGUUAUACCUUUUUGGCUUUAUCCUUGUCAAAAGUAAUUAUUUUAAUGCUCUUUUACAGUUACUUGGUGACAUUUUAAAGUAAGCUUCUGAUUUUUUUUUUGGUUCUAUUUCUUGCAGGUUAUCCGUAAUGGUGUCCCCGAAGAUAUAUGGGGUUUAUAUGCAAGGUGGCACAUAAUCAAAGGCAACCUUAUUAUGUCUUGUGAAGCCCUUCUGAAGCAAGUUAGAUCCUUCCAGGUAAACCUGUGAUGGAAUUAUGCUUUAUCUUGCAAGUUAGUGUCACUAAGAGGGUAUUGGGAUGAGUGUGUGGGUUAUCAGAGAGGAUAGAGUUAUUCACAACUCAUUAGGUGCUAUAUCUUAAGAUAGAAUAAGGCAAGCAAUGCAAGGUCGUUUGGACAUUUUCUAAGAUGAUAUUGGGAUGAGUUUGUGGGUUAUCAGAGAGGAUAGAGUUGGAUAAUUAUGUUGGAUAUUUGAUAACUUUUGCUACAUUUACCUUCUGUUAUUGCUUUGGCAUAAUAGGUAUUGAUAUAAAGUUUGCAAACUCUGUACUCUAUGAACUGUCUGCUCUCAUAUGCAUUCUAAUGAUAGUGGUCAGCUUGGUUGUAUCUGCAUUUCUUUCUCAUUUUUCAUUUCCUGUAUUUGAUCACAGGGCUCUGAGCUUUGGCGUGAUAGAAACCGAUUUAAAAAAUUUGUUCAUGCUUCCUUGCAACUCUGCAAAGUUUAUAUGGAUAUUGCUUCCUCUACUGGAAGCUGUCGAGAACUCUUUACAGCUGAAAUGCAUUUGCGAAGUUCGGUUAAACAGGUAAUGCACGUUAAGCUAAACAUUGGAAGGAAGCCAACUUUUUGCUAUUGUAAAUUUUGUUUUAUCUUACAUGUCAAAGCUCAUUAUAUUAAUCAUUAAUAUGAUAACUUCAAAAUAUUUGCCAUUAAGCCUCCAUAAUCAUUUUGGAUAGUCCAAGAAAACAUCAACUUGGUGGGACCAUUAAAAAAGAUGAUCCACUGCAUGAAGCUCCCGUUAAUAUGGGUUCUGUAUGCAGAUAGGCUGUUUCCAUGAACUGAACCAAGGUUAUCUGGUUUGCAAAGGUGCAAGCUUCUAUGGAGCCCAGAUUCAUGAUCUUGUUGGAUGACUUGCAAUCUAUCCAAUGUAUUAGGAACUUGUGUGACAUAAGCUCUUCCUUUUUUUUUUUUUUUCUCUUUGCCUUUUUCAUGAUGAGACAUGUUACCACCUCCAAUGGAGUUAAUUAUUGAUUGACAUGAUAUCCGAUAGUAACUUGAGAGCUGUAAUUUAAUGAUGUAUCCUUUUUGUUGAUUGCUAACUCCAAAUAGUUGCUAAGUACGGCUUGGUUGUUGUUGUAUUAUCUUUUUUAUUGAUUCUAGUCUACUAUGUUGAUUGAGGAUAUACUUUAGCAGGACUUUUUCUACAACUGACUUAAUCUGAGUUCUUAUCGACCUAAAAGUCCAGAGAAACACUUCAGCAGGAUAGACAAGUUAGGCUCACUCUAGUAGGUUUUUUUUUCCCUUUUUUGAGAUUAAGACCGAUUUAGUUGUGGUCUAGUGAAAUAUGAUUCAGUCUGUAACUCUCUUCCAGAAUUAGACUCCUAAGAUCUGUCAAAUAAGUGGCCCUGUUUAAUCUUGCAAAGUACUUCUGAUUGGUUGUUCAUUUCUUUGUUAUGGGGGUGGGUUAUAAUCAUGGAAGUCCAGUUUUCAUUCCAUUGUUGUGUUUGUAGAGAGAGCGUUAACAGCUGAGAGGAAGAAUGUCCUGAUGAUUGGAUCAAUAAUUCUUUUGAUCAAUAAGUAGAAUGCGUGCCAGUAUUUGAUCAUUGAGAAGACUUGCUAGAAUAGUUGAUUUGUUUCUAGCUUGUAUGAACAGUCAGUUACAAUAUUCUUGCCAGUAUUUGAUCAUUGUGAAAGUAUAGGUGGUUGAGCAUUUAGCAUGCCAUUUGCUCACUCACCCGAUUCUGCUUUGUUAGAAGGGUUCUGGAAUUCAGUCAUAAUCUCUUCUUUGUACUGAAACAGUUGGAUUUUAUUCCUAUUAUAGAGGGUAUAGCACUGACUAGGGAUGUGAGUAUCUAAAGUUGCUGUUCCAAUCCAAAGCCCCCUGGAGAAGUUUUCUGGUCAUAUGAUGUUUGCACCCACUAAAAAUUUGGCUGGCUUCAAUCCGGACUUGGUGAGGAUUUACUUGAAAUUUAAGCCCUUAUUUUUUGGGUACAUAUAUAAGAUUGUAGAAUAAAAUGUUAAGAUCUAGUAUAUCCAAUGCUGGAGGUUAUUGUAGGUAAAAUCUAUCUUCUGGUUGCACUUGUUUUACCUAGACUUUUCUGAUUAGAAUUUGGAUCUACUUUUAUUUUUUAAAGGAAAAAACAAUAAUCUCUUCAUGCCUCCCAAUUCUGUUUUUCCAAACUUGUUUGAUAUGUUUAAAUUUUACUUCUCUUAAGGGCAUUCAAUUUAUAACUAUGUUGUUCUUAAUGAAUAUCAUCUUAUCAUGUUUCAUCAGACUUCAUCUACUUGCAUAUUUUUUGAAGUAAGUGAAUCCCAGUGACUUGUACUUUGCAGGCUGUGGACUUCUCAGACACUGAUGAGUUUAGGGAUCUUAAAACAUGUCUUGAUGAAGUAAAGAAGCAGAUUGCUGCAACUUCUGGUGAAGGUGCCUAGCUAGAUAUGUCGACUUUAAAUAACUUUUACAUGUUUGGAGGUAAUCAUUUUUCGAAGCUGCAACUCCGUAAUUAUCCUUAUAUGAAGCUAGAUUCUGUAUCGAGAGCCAUGGUUCCUUCAUGUCAAAGAUGAUGCCAUGUCUGCCUAAAUGAGCAUUUGGGCAUGUAAUCUGAACUUGUUGAUUUUCUUUGGAUUCAGUCUCCUGUGUUACCUGAUGGUUCAAAGUUUUCUAUGACCAUGCUGAAGGACAGUCUCGGGGAGUUUGUGGUGGGUGUUUUCACGGAUGCUUCAGAAGGCUUUAUUUAUGUACUUGAGGGUUGUGUUGUUAUGAGGGAUGUGUUAUCACAUACAUGUAAAAGUUUUGAUCUAAGAAUUCCAUCUGGCAGUCAUUUUUGGCUUGAGCAUAUAUUCUAAUGGCAGAAUUCAUUGGUUCGUCAUUUUUGGCUUGAGCAUAUAUUCUAACGGCAGAAUUCAUUGGUUCUUUCAUAGACCUUGUAGUCAACCUAUCAUCUUUUGAAGGCAGCCGAGCUUGUUUUGCCGAUCAGUGUGACAAUCUUUGGAUUAAGAUAUUCACUGUUACAAUUUAGUGAUAAAGCAUAUAAUUUAGUGUGACAACUUUUUUGAAAGAAAAGAUGGCAUUAUUGAUUAACUGAGCACCGAUGCGGUGACCAUGACCAGUACUCCCAUGCAGCCAAAGUUAGCUAGUUUGUCAGCUAAUUGAUAAGUGUUUCUCCAAAUAAAAUUGAAUGUUAUAGCAGUCCGAGAUCAUGAGAUCGAUUCGUCUUUAAACACAGAUCCUAAAUAAUUUCGGUCAUAUGUUACUCGAAAGGGACAUCGAGACAAUCGGACAGAUUGGUGUGUUAUAUACCUAUCCAUAUGAUGGAUGCAGUUGAUUUCAUAACUGCUUGUGUGGGGACAUUAGGUAUACAAUAUAGGUGCUCAUUGGAGAGUAAGUUUACUAAUUGAUCUGCUUACGAAAUGCUAGAUAGUUGAUUAUACCUUGUCAGACAGCGAUUCCGUAGUCCUAUUAGUGUAUCUAGUUCUUAGACUUCAGAUACCAAUGAUGUCUUGUAUGAGUGCUCCAUUCUUUGAUACCGGACUUAUAGGUAUAGAUGUCCUAGAUCUAGUACAACCGGUCAUCGAGAGUGGCAGUCAAUCUUACGAGAGCUAUUGAUUGUCGAUAGAGGAUCAUCCACUCUCGGUGUCAUGAGAGGAAUAUCCCAUGUGUUCUUGCUCAGACAAAUCCCUAGCCAGGGUCAUUCAGAUUGAGAGAAAGAGUUAUCCAAGAGAAUCCGGUUAGAGAAAGACUUGAGAAGAAAAUGUAUGGGUUUGAUAGCACCAUGCCCGGUAUAUGGUCAUUGGGAUAUUAGAUGGAUGAUGGACUAUAGGUAUAUGGUAACUGAGGAUAGACAGGUCCAAUGGAUUGGAUUUCCCUAUAUCGUCUGGGGACUAUAACGUAGUGUCAUAGUACGUCCGUAGUCGAUGAGUUGAGUGAAUUAUUAUAGAGAUAAUAAUUCACUGAGCUAGAAGGAGUUCUGAUAGGUAUGACUCACGGCUAUCUCAUAUUAGGCCUAGAGGGUCACACACAUAUGGUAGACGUUGCAAUGAGUAGAGGUUCGAAUAUGAGAUAUCCGUCGGAGCCCAUAUCUUAUUGGAUAUCCAAUAAGCCCAUGAAUUAUUGGAUCCUAUGAAUGAGAUCCAAUAAAAAAGCUCAUGAGAGAUUAUUGAAUAGAAAUCCACUAAUUUAAGAGGCUUGAGUAGUUGGAUGUAGAUCCAAUACCCAAUAAGAGAGGAUCCAUUAGGGUUAAAUUGAUAGAGGACUUAUAUAAAUAGGAGGGAUUCAGUGGUUCAUAGGCUAGAGCCUUUGCUUGCCUCUCAUAUUCUCCUCCCCCUCUCCUCCUCAAAGUAGGCCUAGAGUUUUGAGGAGUGUCGUCGCAGCCCUAUUGUGUGGAUCACCGCUAGAGAGGGCGCUUGACCUCCUUCUCCCUCUCCUAGAAAUCUAUGAGGAUUCAGGGAUAUACGAUCUCCCUAGGUAAUAUAAUCUUUACUAUACACAAUUUUUUGUUUUGCGGAUUGUGUACCAAUCUUCGCACGACGACGAACAAAUCUUUGAAAAAUUGAGGAUUUUGUUUUCUUUUCUUCCGCUGCGCAUGUGAUGUCUUCCCCAAGAUUUUUCAAUAGUGGUAUCAAAGCCAGGUUGUUCGUGUGAAAGAUUGGUUUUGAACUACGUGUGUUGUGUUUGUGCAAUGCUUUUGAUGUCAUCAGCCCCCACGGGGGUGACGACUACAAGAAUAACCCCGCGAGCAGAACCGCCCAUAGGGGCGGUGGUGCCCGCAGGGGCACCCGCCAGCGGGUGCGCCUAACUGUAGCGACGCCGCCUUUCGGGCACACCUCCCGCAGGCAAGGGCAGUGCCCCGCACCCCGCCGCACACGCCACCGGCAAUAGGGUGGUGGCAACGGUAGCAACAAGGGAGAGGGAGAGGGGCUUAGGGUUUUGGGCAAAACGAUAGUUUUGCCCCUAUGAAUUUUUAAAAUUCUAAUUCUGUCUUUUUUGUCCAAAUUAUGAAAAUACCCCUCAGAAUUCAUAAAAUUUCCUAUAUGUCCGUGAUUUCAUAAAUAUUAAUUAAUCAAAAAGUUUAAUUGAUUAUUAUUUUUAUUAUUAUCUAGUAGUCCUAUAUGAUGAUUAUUUAUACAUGUGAUGCAUGAUGUGUGGACGGAUGAUCAUGGACCAUGUUAUGUGUGUACUUGUGAUCAUUAUUAUUGGAGCCUACGAGCCUUCAUUAUAUUUCUCGUUUAUUGUUGGGCUUGUGUGCCUAUGAUUAAGUUAUAAUCAUAUGAGGAGGCGUAGUGGGAGCGUGGAUGCAAUAGCGAGACCCACGAGAUGGGCGAUCGCGAUGCAUGGAGAUGCGUCGAGAUGUCGACGGAACCAACAAGGAUGAGAUGGAAAGUCACAGGGCAUGGAGAUACACUGCUACACACAUAGAUCUUGAUGUGAGUGAUUAGGCCCAUUAUCUCAGGCUUGAUCAUAUUAGGUUGUGGUCCAUGAUCAUCUAGUGUGAUUGCUUAUACACAUACUAGAUAUGUAUAUAUAUUUGCAUGUUGUGUAGAGAUAUAUUAAAUAUAUAUAUGUGUGACAUGUCAUAUUAGGAGACCAAAUCAUAAAAACCCCUCUCUCGAUAAUAUUAAGUCGGUAAACGUGAGACAAUUAGAUUGACCCACGUGGCCUUCCAUCGUUAAAGGUAGGGACCGAUUCCCGGUAUAGGUUGAAUUUGUUAAGUCCCUUGAGGGUCUUGCCUAUAUCGCGAUUCGUUAUUUUGCCUAUGACAUAGAGAUGUCACCGGUAACUUGAGGACAUGGUAUGCUUAGUCGAGUCCCUCAAGGUUAUAUCAUCAAAUCAGCCUUAUCUUGUAACGAUAGUGUUGACUUAACUGAACAUCAGGGUUGGUCGAGUCCCUCGAGACCAUGGUGAUUCGGAGGCCGAACAGGACAGGAAUCACAAGGAGUUGUGAUCGACAAGAGUUGGCUACCUUUCGGGCUUAGUGUGAUUGGUCGAGUCUCUCGAGGUUACACUAAGACACUGAUUGGAUCUUGAUCCCCACUAGAAGUCUAUCAGAGACUUCCGUUUCAUGUGCUGAGGGUGUCGCGUGACUCAUCGGUAAAAUAGUGGGAACAUAUUAAGAUAGAAGUCUAUAUCUUGAUUGUUUAUUUUUGUAAAAUCUGCAUGUUAUUUAUUUCUGCUGCAUCUUUAUUUUCAGAAAAUGUCACUUUCAAAUCCCUUACGUGGCAUACUUGAUGUCAACCAUCUCACAGGUCCAAAUUAUACGGAUUGGCUUCAUAACUUGAGAAUUGUUCUCACGUUGGAGAAAAUCAUAUACGUCCUUAAUACAUUGAUGCCUAUACUCGAGGAAGGGGCAAGCGAGGAUGAGAUCGCUCGCUGUGUGAAGUACAUUGAUGACUCCACUCUUGCUCAGUGUUAUAUGUUGGACUCUAUGACUCUUGAGUUACAGAGAUAACAUGAAAGAAUGGAAGCCAGAUCCAUACUACUACAUGUCCGCAAACUGUUUGAGGAACAGGGAAGGACUCAGUGAUAUGAGAUAUCCAAGAGCCUCUUUCGAACUAGGAUGACUGAGGGGACACCGGUUCAGAACCAUGUCAUAAAAAUGAUUGAGUGGAUAGAGAAACUUAUACAUCUAGAAAUGGUCCUAGAGGAUAACAUGUGUGUGGACAUUGUGCUUCAGUCCCUACCAGAAUCAUUUUCACAGUUCAUAAUGAAUUUUAAUAUAAACAAGCUUGAGGUGACUCUCUUGGAGCUCCUCAAUAUCUUGAGGGAGGCAUAGAGCACUAUCAAGAAAGAGAAGCCAGUUCUCUACACUGGUGAGACCAGAAAGAAUAGGAAAGAAGAAAAAUCCCUUAAGAAGGACAAGGGCAGACUAGGUAACUUAAAGGUUGCUAAGAAAGACCCGGCAAAGGACAAAGGCCAGUGCUUCCACUGUUGCAAAGAUGGGCAUUGGAAGACGAACUGCAAAGAGUACCUUGCAGAGAGGGUGAAACAGAAGCUUGAAGAAGCUUCAGGUAUAUUCAUUAUCAGUCUCCAUUUGUCAGACUCUUAUGAUAACACAUGGGUAUUGGA
Molecule: long non-coding RNA, 74364 nt
Filed under: Musa acuminata (dwarf banana)
Lineage: Eukaryota; Viridiplantae; Streptophyta; Magnoliopsida; Zingiberales; Musaceae
Description: long non-coding RNA (MACU_LNC000628)
Rfam family: Small nucleolar RNA Z199 (bases 138-221)
Source: RNAcentral